This 63082-nucleotide long non-coding RNA is filed under the name Physcomitrium patens. RNAcentral's name for it is "long non-coding RNA (PPAT_LNC012790)". The stretch from base 13226 to 13271 matches the Rfam family "Histone 3' UTR stem-loop". The record is from RNAcentral. Lineage: Eukaryota; Viridiplantae; Streptophyta; Bryopsida; Funariales; Funariaceae.
AGACGGUGACGAACGACCAGAUCGCGGCGGACCUGAAGCAGUAUGUGAUAAAGCCUGUGAUUCCGGAGAAGUACAUGGACGAGAACACGAUUUUCCACCUGAACCCGUCGGGGCGGUUCGUGAUCGGGGGGCCGCACGGGGACGCGGGGCUGACGGGGAGGAAGAUUAUCAUCGACACGUACGGGGGGUGGGGAGCGCACGGAGGAGGCGCAUUUUCGGGGAAGGACCCGACGAAGGUGGACAGGAGCGGGGCGUACAUUGUGCGGCAGGCGGCGAAGAGCAUCGUGGCGGCGGGGCUGGCUCGGCGGUGCAUCGUGCAGGUGUCGUACGCGAUCGGGGUGCCGGAGCCGCUGUCGGUGUUCGUGGACACAUACGGGACGGGGAAGAUUCACGACUCGGAGAUAUUGAAGCUGGUGAAGGAGAACUUCGACUUCAGGCCGGGGAUGAUGUGCAUCAACUUGGACUUGAAGCGAGGCGGGAACAGGAGGUUCCAGAAGACGGCGGCGUACGGGCACUUCGGGAGGAACGACCCGGACUUCACGUGGGAGGUGGUGAAGCCGCUGAAGUGGGAGAAGACGGAGGCGUAGAGGGAGUGGGAGUGGGAUUGGGAGUGGGAUGAUGUAGGGAUAUGAUGAGGGGACGGGGUGAUAUGAGCUCCCCCCUGUGUGUAGCGUGCGGUGCGGUGGGAAAGGGAAAGCACGGACAAUAUUCUUUUCUGUUGGCGGUGGCUGUGAUGGUGUGAUCGGGUGAUGGUGUGAUCGGGGAGGGAGAUAGAGAGCGGGAAUGGGAAUGUGGGGGUGAAGGGGGAGGUAGGGAGUAGGUGGUGUAUGGCAACUGCAUGAUGAACAGAAGGUUGAUGAUUUUUGAUGACGCUGGAUAUUGUAUGGUAAUUGGAAUGGAGAGUUGGGGUGCAGUCGGCGAAGCCGGGUGUGCAGGAUUGAAUAGUGGUGGGAUGAGGUCCACCAUUACUGAUCUCAAAAUUGUAUGUGGUGGAUGAGUUUUAUGUGCAUUUUUAUAUUCUGAAUUCUCUGAUCAAGAUGUGUAUUUUUUGUGCAUAUCACUGUGUUUGAAUCUUCUCAGUUUUUUCAACUAUCAUUCGCUGGAUUUCACUAUCAACGUAAGAUAUUUGGAGAAAUGGGAUUGUACUCAUUUAGAUGAGAAAUUUUGUUUGUAGCGGGGCUCAGAAUGCGACACGGUUAAGAGAAGCAGAGCAGUCAGCAGAGAGAACCAUUUUAUUUAUAUCUGAUUGUGGACCUAAUUUACGAAUAGCACCAGAGAUUGUAUUGUGUCAUUGAAGCGAAAUUACCUACGUGAGGGUGCUCAAUCAAAAUAUUUUUGACACAUUUUAUACUAUAAUACUAUAAUAUGCAUGGUGGCUAUUCUCGAUGGAUGCAAUUGUUCUCAAAACUGUACAAUCAAAUUCAUGUUUUCUUUAAUUUGAAAAACAAUCCCUGGCAAUUUAUUAAAAUGUCCAAAUUACAAAGUUUCUCUUGUCCUAUUGAAAAUUUUGAAAUUUAUGAUCUAAACACAUGGUUGCAAAUGGUGUAUAGAAGUAAGCUUGCGCAAUCAUUGUGGAUGAUUUUUAAUCCACAAUAAUGGUUCAAACCUAAUUCAUUAUAUAUUUUUAAAUUCAAAAAGUAAUUUUUAAUUUGGGAUUCUUUUCUAAAAAUGAUCUUAACUCUUAAUUUUAAAUCAAUAAUUUUAAUUUCUAAAAAUAAAUUAUUAAAUUUGGCAUCUUUUGUGGAUAAUAAUCAAGAAAAGAUUUAGUGUGAAUGGAAUCUAAGAAAAAUGAAAAGAAUUGGUAUAAAAGAAGUUUAGAAAAGAAACUAGUAUAAAAAGGAUUAGAAAAGAAAAAUUUAGAAAUAGUUAGUAUCUAGUUACUCAUGUGUUUAACAUGUGUUUAAUAACACAAAGUAAUUGUGUAAACAAAGAUUGUUACACACAACACAUUGAGUGCCAUAAAUCAACCACAAAGUAUACAAUUUAAAUCAAAUACAAAUGCACAACUAAUAGAGUUUCAAGAAAAGAUUAUGAAUCUACAUAAAAAUAACUCAAGCUAUCUCUCAUACCACAAAAGGAGAAUCAAAGAACGUAAGUGUGAGUAGAAAAAACCUUAUUGCAUUAUUAAAUGGCUAAAUCUCCAUAGCCAAGCAAAUCUAUACAACACAAGCUUUCUCUCUUUUAAAAUUAUUCAUAAGAUUUGAUUUGACAAGAAUGUCAAGUCAAGGUGGUUUCUCUAUCUAAUUUUUCAAAUCCUAGUUGAUAUUAACAAAGUCAACUAACAAAGAAUAACUAAAUGGAUGUAAAAUCACUAAACCAAACCAAAUUACAUACAUCCAACAAGAUUUGGCAUCCAAUGCUACAUCAUAUGAUAAGGUGGUUAAGUUGCCUUACUAUGAAGGAUAAGAACUUAAAGAAGAUACAAUAAAUAAGUGAGAUAAGUAUCAAAGAAAGAUGAAAAAAUAAUAAUAAGAUAGUAUAUAUAUAUUUAUUUAUUUUUUGAAAUGACUAUUGCCAAAGGCUAAAAAUCUAGAGACUCUUGAAAUUAGACUAGAAGUAAAAAAAGAAUUGACAAGAAUGAAGAAGGCUUCACUCUCGCUUCUAUAUAUACUAUCUAAUUAGAAGUUAUAUGGCGAUGUUCUAUAGGAUCCUCAAUAUCUGUUUAAUUAUCAAGACAUAUGUCUUUACUUGCAAGACAAGUUUUUUAUAUGUGUGUCACAUGGUUAGCUUAUAUUAUAAGCUAUUAAUACAUGUAAUAUGCAUCUAAUUUAUUCACUAAGUGUUCAUCCUAUCAAUCAUGUGUUGACACAUAUAAAGAUGAAACCAUAUUAAUGGAGCUUUUAAAAAGUUUUUUUAUAAAAUUUUAUCUAAUUAAACUAUUUUUAUCUAUUUUAAAUUAUUCAUAUUAUUUAGAUAACUAUAUCAGUAAAUAUAAAUGUUCAUGACAUUACCUCUCUUUUUAGAAACAAAUUCUAUGACAAGUGGUGAUUGCAUAUUGAAGAAGUCCAAAAUGCAAUGAAUUAUAUUUGCUACGUAUUCUAAUCUUUAUUCUCUUUGAAGGGAAUUUGAUUGGUCCUCUCAUCCAUUGAUAAUGUCUUAUUUUAGGGUGUAAAGUCUAAAUUAUUAUUAUAUCAUUUUUGUGGCCUUUGUAACUUUUCUUAAAUAAAACAUUUGUAACAUCAUCAAGAGUCCUUCCUACCUCUAAUAAAAUUACCAAAUACUAGGAGUCUCUUUUAAGGUCAUAAUAUCAAAUAUGUUGUAUCUCACCAUCUAUUUGUUAUUCUUCAAGGUCUUCAUCUCUAUUAUGUCAUCUUGAAGGUUGUAAUAAUAUCAUGGAUAUACAUACUUAUUUUAAUAUUUACCUAAAUGAUUAAGUAAAAGUUGGUAAAAAUAGAUUCAUUUCAUGAUAUUUUCUAGAGCUCCUUCCUAGAAGCUUCAUAGAUAUUGUUUUGAUUUUUGAUAUGUUUAUAGUUGAUUGGUAGAUUAGAUACUUGAUCAAUAAGUUAACUACGUAUUAGUAGCUUGUGGAACAAACAAACUAUGUAGCGUACAUAUAAAAAACUUGCUUUGCAAAUUAAGAUACAUAUCUGGUAAAGUCAACGUGUUUUGGAGGUCUUAUAGUACAAUGCCACAUAACUCCUAAUUAAGAAUAUAUAUGGAAGGAAGAGUGAAGCCUUCUUCAGUCUUAUCAAUGCCUUUCUAGUCAGUCUUAUUUCAAGACUUUCUAGUUUUCUUGUCUUUGGCAAUAGCCAUUUUAAUUUAAUAUUAUAUCAUCUUUGAGUGAUUUUCUAGUCUUUUCAAGUGGCACAAGAAUGUAUUGAAAUUUUAAUUCUUUAUGAUUCACGUCUUUGAAAUAAGAGUAGUAACUUACUAUUUUUGUCUUAUUUGAAAAAUGAGUAGAUUAUCCCUCUUCUAUUGUUAUAUUUUGAAGGUUACAAAUUAUUUUCUUUUAAUUUUAUUUUUUGAAUUUAUUUGAAUUUUUUAUAGAAGGAAAGAUUAUAGAUGCUACUUUCAGUAGAAGUAAGAAUAGAUUUGCAACUAUUGCAUAUCUUCAUGAGCUUAUCAAUACUUCAAGAGUCAAAAUUUUAUAUAUUUCCAAUAUGAAUUAUGAAAGUACUAUUUUUACGUUUAUAGAAGAAGUUUAAAGUCUAUGCUAAGAAGUUGUGCAGUUGAAGGAAGCAAGUAGAUUGACUUCACAACCAAAUCCAAUAUAGGUUGAAGGAUAAUGUCUAAGAUUUGUUAUUUACAAUAUUAAAAGAAAAAUCUUUGAAACAAUUUAUUGCUCAAGCCAUUACGUGUGACAAUUGAUUAUUUGAAAGUCGUCAAGAAUAAAGACUCGGAUAGAGAAGAAUAAAUCAAGUAAUGACAACAACUCUCAAGUUUUUUGAAACUUAAUCAUUAAGGCCACAAUCAAUGCAAAUUAAUCCAAUGCAUUUGAAAUCUUUCAUAAAAUAGGAAAUAUCUUGAUGUUAUUAAGAGGAUUUGUGGUUAUAUUGUGGAGAAGCUAAGCAAAUUACUUAACAUUAUCUUGAGAAGCAACAUAAUAAAAAAAUGAAGAGUAUGAUUGCCAAAAAAAGACAAUGUGUCAACAAACAAAAUUUUCCAACUAUAAUAGAGACUGUGCAAUUGGAAUCUUAUGCAAUACCAAGUAAAGGUCCAAUUCUCUUCUUAAAUCCCCCACUUUAUUUUAUAAUAGAUGUAUGUUUAAGACCUAAAAAUUACAAAGUCUUUUUAUUAUUAGAUUUGAAAGCCUCACCUUUUUUAUUGACAAAGACUUUGUCAAAAAAUAAAAAAUAACUUUAGUCAAGAAAACUAAAUCUAUACAUGUAGAAGUCAGAGAUGAUUGUUUGUUGUCUUUUGGAGAUAUUAUUCAUGAAAUUAUUCCUUUAGAUGUAGCAAUCAAAGAUAAUAAUAACAUAAUAAUAUUUAAUGUAAUAAGAUCUCCCUUCAAUCUAGUUAUUUUAGGAUUAUUGUGGUUAAAAAAAAAUAUAAUCUUCAAAUAGAUUGGAUUUCUUAUAACUUUAAUUUUUUUGAUAAUUUAAUUCAAAAUCUUACUAGUCAAGUAAGAAUACAUAAGUUUGGUAUAUCCAAACCCUUAUUGGUAGAAGCGAGAGCUUUCAUGCAUGCUGCAAAAAAAUGGUCAUCUUUUAAUAUAUAUACCAUGCUUAUUUAUGAUGGUAAAAAGACAUCAAGUGAUAUUCCUAGCUAGUAUCAAGAUUUUUAGGACAUUUUAAAAAAAAAGAAUGCAGAUAUUUUUUGAAAGCAUUAACUUUAUGAUUAUGCAAUUAAUCUGCAAGAAAUAGCUAAACUAUCAUUUGGACCAAUCUACAACUUAUCACAGAAUAAAUUGGAUGAACUAAAGGAAUAUAUUUAUGAAGGUUUGGCUAAAAAUUCAUAUGCCAUUCAAAAUUUCUAAUGGAAGCUCUUAUCUUAUUUGUAAAGAAAAAAGAUGGAUCUUUAUAGAUGUGCAUAAACUAUUGAGGAUUUAAUAAGAUCACUAUAAAAAAUUGAUAUCUUCUAAUUUUUAUUUAGAACUUCUUGAUCAACUCAAUCAAGCAAAGAUCCAUAUGAAAAUAGAUUUAGAAAGAGCUUAUAAUCUCAUAUGCAUUAAAAAAAGAGAUGAAUAGAAGACUGUGUUUUAAUUCAUGUAUGGGCAUUUUAAAUAUAAUUUCAUGCCUUUUGGAUUCACAAAUCUACCAAUUGCUUUUUAACAUUUAAUGAAUAAUGUCUUUUUUGAUCUUUUUUAAAAUUUUAUUAUUUAUUAUUUAGUCAACAUCUUAAUCUAUUCUAAAAAUAUAAAAGAGCAUGAAAUUCAUGUUUUUUUGUGUAUUACAAAAACUUAGAGAUGUAAGAUGAUAUACCAAGUUAAAAAACUAUAUUUUCCAUAUUAUAUAAGUUGAUAUCUUAGGAUACAUCAUUUCCAACAAAGGACAAAUAAUGGAUCCAAAGAAAGUCUAAACUAUCAUAGAUUAGAAGAUUCCAAAAAUAAUAAGAAGUGUAUAAUUUUUUUUGGACUUUGUUAAUUACUAUUAGAUCUUUAUCAAGAUUUGUUUUUUCAAGUUGCAGUCUCACUUAUAUAUUUGAUUUAUAAAAAAAAAAUUUAGUAGAAUAAAGAAACCGAAGUAUUGUUUAAUGCUUUAAAGAAGGGCUUUACUUUUGUACCAAUCUUAUAUCAUGUUGACUUUUCUAAGGCAUUUUUCAUGGAAACAAAUGUAUUAAAUUUUGCCUUAGAUGUAGUAUUGUCAAAAAUAAGUAUAGAUGACAAAUUCUAUCUGAUAGCUUUUUAUUUCAAGAUUUUUUUUGAAACUAAGAUUAAUUAUGAGAUCCAUCAUAUAGAGCUCUUUACAAUCAUGGAUUCAUUUUAAUAAUAUGAUUAUAAUUUAGAAGGCAACUUGAGUCUAGUCAUCGUAUAUACAAAUCACAAGAAUCUCAAGUACUUCAUGUUGGUAUGUAUUUUGAAUUAUUACCAAGCUUGUUGGUGCAUAUUUUUAUCAAGAUUUGAUUUUAAUAUUACUUAUUGAUCCAAAAAACAUGAUUUUUUGGACGUCCUUUUUAGACAUUCUUAUCUUAUAUCAAAAGAAGGAGAUGUAUCCUUUGAUCAACAAAGAACAAUUUUCUUGAAGUUGGAGCAUUUUUACCUUUGAGCAAUAAAAUUAAUAUUUACAAUUGAUUUAUUUUUUAUUAAGUAAAUUCAAUUAAGUAUAUCUUUUGAUUUUCUUAUUCAAGAUAUCAAAAAUACCUCUUCUAAAUCUUAUGAUACUUCUAAGUUUGAAUUCAAAAACAACCUAUUUUAUUUUGAAGGAUGAUUAUACAUUCCAAAAGAUGGAGCAUGAUUAUGUAUUCUUCAAAUUCAUUAUGACUUUCUAGCAGUUGAAAAUUUUGAAUAUAACAAGACUUUUGAACUAAUAUCAAAAGAUUUUUAAUAGCCUACAAUGUGAAAGGCAAUUAAAGACUUUGUACAAUCAUGUGAUAUUUUUUAAGAUUCAAAACUCCUUGCUAUUAACCUUAUAGACUUCUUCACUUGAAACUUAUUUUGGAACAACCAUAGUCUUCUAUUUCUAUAGAUUUUAUCAUUGAUCUUUCAAUCUUAAGUUUGUAUGAUUUUAUAUUUGAUAGUAGAUUAUUUUAUCAAGAUGAAUUAUUUUGUAUUAUAUACAAAAUAUAUCAUAUGUGAAAAAAUAACUAAGCUUUUUCUUGAUAAUAUCUAUUUUUAUCAUAGAUUAUAAAAAAAUAUUAUAUUAAAUAGGAAAACUCUAUUUGUAUCAAGAUUUUAGAGAGGCAUUUUUAAAAUUCUAAAGGUGGAUAAUAUGCUCUCUUUGUCUUUCCAUCUUCAAACUGUUGGAGAAACAAUAUCAUGUAAUAAUAUGAAUAUAUGGUAAAAAAUAAAAAAAUGGAUGUUAUUAAAGAAGAAUCUAGUAAAAACAUGUAAUAAAUAAACAAAGUUAAAUGAUAGGAAGGUAAUAAAAGGUUUAGUCUUAAUGCUACCUUUUAAAGAAGGAGCUUCUAUUUGCUUUGUAGAGGCAUAAAUGCCUUAAAUCAAAGUAAAUGAGAUAAGAAAUUAAUAUAAACAUAUUUAAGAAAAAUUUAUCAAUAGGUUUAAGUAUAAAUUAUCUUAUAUUACUAAAUAUUGAUAACUAAAAAAGACCAAUUGUCUACCUAGGUCUAAAUCAGAUCUUAAGGCACAAAAUCCGACAUCUACAGCAAUUCUAGGGUUCUUUGGAAGAUUGAAGAGUGCAAUUUGAGAGUAAACUUGCAAAGAAAAUUUUAGGCAUUGAUUUUAUGUCAAUCAUGUUAAUAUUUAGUUUUUGGAGGAUUUUCAAAGUUAGUGAUGUUCUUGAUUGGUUUAGAUUUUGAGAAGUAAAAUUGUGUUUACACAUUUGAGGGUUUCUUGAAUUUUGUGGUAUAUAUACAAUUAAAUUUUGGAUAGAGUAUGGGUAUACUAGUUAUAAAUGUGUGCGAAAAUUUCGAGGUCAAUUAAAUAGGUGUAUCAAAAAGUGUGAAGGUUUUUGUGGAUUGAGGUGUCAAAAAUUGGAGAUUGAAAGUUAAUGAGUAUUUUUAAGUUCUUUAGAAAUUUGCUAAUUGGAUUGAAGUGAUUUUUUUUGUAUAAAGAUAAGACUUGAUAUUCAAUAAUUUAGGUGAAUUUUAGAAGUAAUUCAAUGGCUCAAGAAGGAGAUAUUGGUAGUAGAAGUUCAAUAUUUAGAUUGGAGUAAGAGGUUAGUUAAUAUUCAAGCAAAAUUUAAGAUUGAUCUUUUAAUUGAUAAGUUCAAUCUUCUUCUAGUUUUUUGUGCUUGUUGCCAACUUAAUUAUUGUGAGGUGUUUAAAAUCUUAAGCGAGAUCAAUGAUACAACUAAUGGAUAUUGACAUUCUAAACUUCUUAAGGAUUAGGUUAAUUUGACUAGAGUUUGAUUAGGAUUUAGGAUUUUUUUAAGAUUUAAGAUUAUUUAAGAUUAAUUAAAAUUUGACUUAAUAUUUAAUUAAAAAAUACUAGAAAUUUAAUUAGUAUUAAAUUAAAAUUUAAGUAGAAUUUAUUUAAAAUAUAUUAAAGAUUUAAUUCUAAAACUUUAUUUGAAUUUUUUCUAGGAUUUCUUCAUGUUCCUUUUGUAAUUUCUUUAAGAUUUCUUUGGAUUUGAUUGAAGCUUGAUUAGCAUUGUUAAGGUUUAAUUGGAGUGACAUAGGAUUCUAUUAGAAUUAGAAUCUUAUUGUUGCAUAUUUUUUUCUAUCUUUCAUAGCUAAGUGCUCGUUGCAUUCUUAUGCAAGGUUCCAUGUAAUACAACAACAAAGUGGAUGAAUCAAAUUCUUAAGUAGUAUUUGAGGUAUACCAUCAAUUAUCAUUCAGAUGAUUGGACAAUUUUUUUGCCAUUGGUAAAGUUUACAUAUAAUAAUUUAAUAUAUUUUUCUAUUCAAUAAAUACUUUUUUUUGCCAAUUAUAAUUAUCAUUGAUAACUUAAUAUUUUUAAAUUUGAAAAAAUUAAUAAACUUAUUGCAAAAGAUUUAAUAAAUUAUUUGUCAAAGCUACAUGUAAUAAUGAAGGUGCACUUCAAAGAAGCUUAAGAACAACAAAAAAUCAAUGGGGAUGCCUAUUGCAAAGAACAACCACAAUUCAAUAUGGAUGAUAAGCUAUGGCUACUUUGUCACAAUAUCAAGAGUACUUAUUCUUAUGACAAGUUGGACUAUUGUAGGCUUGGAUUUUUUUUUUUUUUUUUUUUUUUUUUUUUUUUUGUGAACAAAUCAAUCAUGUUGCUUAUUAGUUAUAUCUUUUGAAGUGUAUGAAGAUUCAUAUCAUAUUUCACGUAUCUCUUCUUGAGCUAUAUAAGACAAUUAAUAUUUUGAGAAGAAGACAAAUGCCAUCUCUUCUUAUAAAAAUAGAUAAUAAUCAAAAUUUUGAAAUAGAAGAAGUCUUAGAUUCAAGGUAAUAUCAAAAUAAAUUAGAACAUUUUGUUCAUUAAUAUAGAUAUGAUAUUAGUAAAUGCACAUGACAGCCAACAAAGAAUCUUGCAAAUACAAUAAAGAAAGUUGAAACUUUUUAUUGAAAAAAUCUAUCAAAAAUCAAAAUAAAAAAUUGCAAGAUCCAUGAAAGAUAAUGAUUGCUCUUUGUGGAAUUCAUUUCUAGAAGAAGAAUUAAUAUAAUAAAUAUGUAUACUUAUUAUAAUAUUUAUCUAUAUAAUUAAAUAGAAAUAAAUAAAAAUAGAUUUAUUUCAUAAUAUUUUAGAGCUGCUUCUUAGAAGCUUCAUAGAUGUUGUUUUGAUUUUACAUAUGUUUGUAGUUGAUUGGUAGGUUAGAAACUUGAUCAACAAGUUAACUACAUAUUAUUAGCUUGAAGAACAAGCUAAAUAUGUAGCGUAUAUAUAAAAAAUUUAAUUUUUAAGUUAAGAUAUGUGUCUGAUAAAGUCAACAUGUUUUGGAGGUUCUAUAAGACAUUACCAUGUAGCUCCUAGUUAAGAGUAUAUGUAGAGGCAAGAAUGAAUUUCACUCUUUUCAAUGCCUUUUUAGUCGUUAGUCUUAUUUUAAGAAUUUCUAGUUUUCUUGUCUUUGAUAAUAACCAUUUUAGUUUAAUACUAUAUCAUCUUUGAAUGAUUUUCUAGUUUUUUCAAGUAACACAAGAGUGUAUUGAAAUUUUAGUUCUUUGAGGUUCAUAUCUUUGAAAGAUAAUUGCAAUGUCUUGUCUUAUAAGUUAGUAAAAAAUACUUUUUGAGUUGAAUCUGCUAGCUAUUGGUUCUUUAUAUUAUUAAUACUAGUUAUACAAAGAAAUUGUAAUAAAAGAUAGAAGAUGGAUUACAAUCUCCAUUGAACUUCUUUUCUUUUAUAGCAAAUAUUUUUUUGAUUCUUUAUUUUAGUUUUGAUAGAUUUCAUUGAUAAAAAGUUUUUACCUCUUCUAUUAUAUUUGCAAUAUUUUUUGCUAGCUUCCAUGUAUAUUUAUUAAUAUUAUAUUUGAGCUAAUGAAUAAGAUAUUUUAACUUAAAUCAAUGCCUCCUUAAAUUUAAAACUUUUUUAACUUCAAAUUCUUAAAUAUUAUCUAUUUUUAUUGAAAGUGGUAGCAUUUAUCUUCUUUUGAAGAUAUUUACUAUCUAAUAUGACUUAAGAAGAGACAUCUGAAAUAUGGAAUGGAUCUUCAUAGACUUUAGUAGUUAUAAUUGAUAAGAAAUUAGAUUGACUUGUGCAUAUAUAAAAAAUGGUCAAGUUUAUAAUAAUCCAACUUGUUGGAAGGACAAAUAGUUUUCAUAUUAUAAUAAAAUAAUCAUACUUUAUUAUUAGUGUAGAAUUGAGUUUGUUCCUUAUAAUAGGUAUUAGCAUUGAUCUUUUGUUAUUCUUGAGCUUCUUUUAGUUGUGCCUUAAUUGUUGUAUGUAACUCAAAUAAAUAAUUCACAAAAUUUUUAGUCAAAAGAUUAUCAACUUUUGAAAUAUCAAAAAUAUUAAAUUAUGGAUGAUAAUUAUAAUUAGUAAAUAAAGAUGUUUAUUGAAUAGAAGAAUAUAUCAUAUUAUUAUGAAUAAAAUUUACUAAUGGAAAAAAAGUUGUUUAAUUAUCUUAUUGAUAGUUAAUAGUACAACUUAAAUAAUUUUUUAAAAUUUAAUUUACUUGCUUUUUUUGUCCAUUAAUUUCAUGAUGAAAAGCCAAAGAUAGUUUUAUGUAAAUCUUUAAAAUCUUAAAAAUAAUUCUUUAAAAUCUACAUACGAAUUGAAUUACUAUAUGUAAUAUAAUAUUAUUAGAUAAUCCAUGAUAAUAAUAGAUAUUAUUAAUAAAUAGCUUAGUUAUUAUUUCACCUAUGAUAGAUUUUUUACAUUGUAUAAAAUGUGUCAUCUUGAUGAAAAGAUUUACUAUUAUAAAUAUAAAUUCAUAAAAAUCUAAGAUUAAAAGAUCUAUGAUAAAAUCUAUAGAAAUAAAAGACAAUGGUUGUUUAAGAAUAGAUAAUAGUUGAGAUAGUCUAUAAGGUCAAUGACAAGGAGUUUUUGAUUUUGAAUAAACGUCAUAUAAUUAUAUAAUUUUUUUUGACUACCUUUCAUAUUUGAGGCUAUAAAAAACCUUUAGAUAUUAGCUCCAAAAUAUUAUUGUAUCCAAAAUAUCAUGCUAUAAGAAAGUUAUGACAAGCUUAAAGAAUACAUAAUCAUACUUCAUCUUUUAGAAAAUAUAAAUACCUCUCAAAAUAGAGUAGAUUUUUUUAAAAUUCAAACUUAAAAGUAUUAUGAGAUUUUGAAGAAUUUUUCUUAAUAUUAAAAAUAAGAGGAUUAAAAAAAUAUUAUAUUAAACUUGCUUAAGAAAAAUUGAAUUAAUAGUUAGUAUUGAUUUCAUAUCAAAGACAAGAAUUUAAUAAAAAUAAAUAACUAAGUGAGACUUUUUCUCAAAGAAGUAUGAAAAAAUAGAAGUAAGCAAAUAUGUAUAUUAAAAAAAAAUUGGAAUAACUAUUGCUAAAAGAUAAAAAAACUAAAGACUCUUAAAUCUAGACUAGAGCAAGAAAUGAGUUGAGAAGACUAAAGAAGGCUUUGUUUUUGCCUCUAUAUAUAUUAUUUACUUAAGAACUAUGUCAUGACAUUGUCAUAUUACGUGUUGUCUUGUCUAGGAAUGCAUCGAGCAUCUAACUAUGGAAGGUGAGGUUGUGUUUCAUAAGUAUCUAAAAAAUCUUAAUAGCUUUCACUCAUAUGAAAAGAAUAUAAUCUGAAUUUCAAUCCAAAAGUGCUAAAAAAUACUCUUUUUAGUAGUCUUAAUCAUACAUAAAUUCCAAUUGCCUUGUUACUUUCAUAUUUAAGCAAUUUAGAUUUUUUUUAUAAACCCCUAUUCUAAUCAUUGAGCUUUAACAAGCUUUAACAUCUAAUUUGACCAUCCACUUGAUGCAAAAUCUUGCAUGCAAUUGUUAAUGUAAGUCUUCUAUAUGCUCGAGAAUUUUCAGCCCAAUCCAACUUACAAAUUGUAAGGAAACCUCCAAAAAUUGCACUGAUGUCACUCGGCUGCCAACUUGAAAAGUGAAGUAAAAAUCCCAAUAGUGAUUUCUCCUUCUCCAACCGUUAACUUUGUCUCAAAAUUGGUAUGCACCUUGAUCUUUAAGUCUUUCAACACCAAGCCAAAUUUCAGCUUGAUCGGAUUGGUAGAUCUUUAGAUAUCACAAAAAUCCUACCCAAUCCCAAACUGCCAACUUCCGAAAUCCUCUUGUGCUAAAAACUAGAUAUAUCUAAACCAUGCCAUUAGAUUAUCACAAAAUUUUGUAUACACUUAGCACAUCCAAUAAUCCAAAUAAUAUUAAAUUUUGAACCAUAUAUACUAUAUUAAUUGCAUGAACUAGCCAAAAUUACUAGCCAUAAUUAUAUUAUAUAAAAUCCAAAUCACCCAUAUAAACCUUGACUUUGAACAAUGAUUGCUAAGUCCUCAAAAACCUUCCAAAAACCACCUUUAUGCCUUUGAAAAGAGCUUCAAGCUAGCUCUCAAAUCUUAACCUCUGAUCUUCAAAUGAAUCCCUAUUUUGCCCUAGGCUAUUGUUUUAGUGGCUAGAGAUCUGAUUUUGACCCUGUCUCACAAAUGGUCGAUCCUCGGGUAUCAAUUUAACCUAUCCUAAGCAUUUUUUAGCCCAAUCCUAUUUUCAACUUAACCUUAGUACCAACUGUACUAAUUAUUUUCCUCUUCUAAUGUUAUUUUAUUAAUUUAUCAUCUUUCUAAGAUAGUAGAAGAGUCUCUACAAUCUAGAAGGUAAAAUUACUAAAUAACCUUCAAUCCACUAACUAUUAAGAUAAGAAAAUAACCUAAGAGGCUUUUAUUAAAGCCAUAUUUAGAUACCUCAAAUUAUAAUUAAACUAAGAUAAUUAGAUAUUAAUUAGAAAUUCAAUUUUGAUUAUAAUUGCACUAUAUAGUUGUAUUACAUCAUGACAACGUUCUAAAGGACCUUCAAUCUAUAGACUUUGGAAGCCACAUGUCUUAAUUUGCAGGGCAAGUUUUUUAUGUGUAUACUACAUUGUUAGCUUGUUCGAGAAGCUAUUCAAAUGUGUGAUACAUGAUUAAUUUUUUGACUAAGUUUUUAACUUCAAAGUCAACUAUAAAUACAUGUAAAGUCAAAAUAAUAUCUAUAAAGCUUCUACAAAGUUUUUUUUAGAAGAUAUCAUAAAAUUAAUCUAUUUUUAUUUAUUUCUAUUUAAUUAUAUAGGUAGUUAUUAGAAUAAAUAUGUAUAUCCAUGAUAUUAUCUCCAUUUCUAAGAACGAGUCCCACAAGGCAUGGUCAUCAUAUAUUAAAAAAAUCUAAGAUACAACAAAUUAUGUUUGCCACAUAAUCUGAACUUUAUUUUCUUUAAAGAUGAUUGAUGGAUCUUCUUAGCCAUUGAUAAUAUCUCUAUAUAAAGGUGAAAAGACCACUUUUUUUAUCUAAUCUCUAUUGAUGCCUUCAUAACUUCCUUAAAAUAAAAUAUUUAAAAUAUUAUCGAGAGUUAUUCUUACCUCUAAUAAAAUCACUAGACAUUGGAAGUCUGUUCCAAAAUUAUGAUAUUAAAUAUAUUAUAUCUUGCCAUCUAUUCAAAGAAGAAUAUAUCGUUCUUGUAGAUCUUCAUCUUGAUUACGUCAUCUUGAAGGUUAAGACAAUUAUAAUGUCUUAUUUUACAAAUUAGCAAAUGAUAGAUAUUGAAUUGAAUCUACUGGUUGUUAGUUCUCUAUCUCUUUAGUGUCAAAAUAUACAAAGAAGCUACCAAAAAAAAUAUAAUAUAGAACAUUAUCUUCUUUUUAUCUUGUUUCUUUUACAGUAAAGAUUUUCUAUUCUUUAUAUAGGUUUUGAUGGAUGUUGUUGAUGAAAAGCUUCCACAUUUUUUGUUGCAUUUACAAGUUUCUUUGCUUGCUGCCAUGUGUGUUUAUUAAUAUCAUAUCCGUGCCAAUGAACAAGAUAUUCUAACCUAUUUUGGUACUGCUUUCAAUCUAAGACUUUUUCAAUCUCAAUUUUUUUUUUUUUAUUAUUCACUUCUAUAUGAGGAGGUUGUACACGUUUUUUUUUUUUUUUUUUUUUUUUUUUUUUUUGUAUAUUCAUUAACUUGUAUGGUUCAAGAAGAGACAUAUUGUUGUUAUGUAAUAUGAUUAUAUAAUAAAAAUAUAAUUAAAAUUAAAUUUCUAAUUAUUAUCUCAUUAUUUUGAUCCAAUAAUAAUUUAAGCUAUUUAAACAUGGAUUUUAUAAAAGCCUUUUAGUUAAUUUUUUUGUCUUAAUAGUUAAUAGGUUAAAGGUUGGUUAAUGAUUUUACCUUCUAGGCUAUAGAGACUCUUUUAUUGCCUUAAAAAGACCAUAAAUUACUAAGAUCAAGUUAGAAGAGAUAAAUAAUUAGUAUGGUUGAUACUAAAUUUAAGUUGAGAAUAGAAUUGGAUUAAAAAACUCCUAAGAUAGGUUAGAUUAAUACUUGGGAAUUAAUCAUUUGUGAGACAUGGUCAAAAUCAAACCUUUAGCUACUAAAAUGAUGACCUAGGAUAAAAUAGGAUUUCAUUUGAAGAUUGGAGAUUAAGACUCAAUAGCUAGCUUAGAGCUUGUUUUGAAGAUGCAAGGCUCGUCUUUGUAGGGUUUGAUAGGACUUUGCAAUUGUUGUUCAAAGACAUGGUUUAUAUUGACAAUUUGGGAUUUAUGCAAUAUAAUUAGGGCUAGCACUCUUAGCUACUUUAUAAAAUUGGUAUCACAUCUACAAUUCAAAAUAUAAUAAUGCUUUGUUAAUUAAGUGUACUAAGUAUUUGUAAAAUUUUGUGAUAAUCCAAUGGUAAAAUUGAGAGAUAUUUGGAUUUUGGUAUAAGAAGGUAUCAGAAGUUGGUAGUUUCGAAUUGAGUAGGAUUUAUGUGAUAUCUAAAGAUGUACUAAUUGAAUCAAAGUAAAAUUUAGCAUGGUAUUAGAGGACUUGAAGAUCAAGCCAUAAAUCAACUUCUAAUUAAAGUUAAUAAUUGAAAAAGGAGAAAUAAUUGUUGAAACAUUUGCAUCAACUUUCAAGUUGUUAGCCAAAUAACAUUAGUGUAGUUUUUGGGUAAUUUCUCAUAAUCUGUAAGUUGGAUUGAGAUGAAUUCUUUUUAAGUACAUAGGAGAUUUAUAGUAGUAUUUGUAUACAAAAUUUUACUUCAAGUGGAUGGUUAAAUUAAGAGCUAUAGCUUACUAAUUAGGAUUAAGAUUUGUAAAAAAAAUAAAUUCAAAUUUACCUAAUUAUGAAAGUAAUAAGGCAAAUGGAAUUUAUAUACAGUUGAGAUUACUAAAAAGAGUGUUUUUAAGUACUUUGUAUUGAAUUUAAGAAAUUUUGAAUUAAAUUUCAAAUUCCAUUCUUCUUAUGAAAGUGAUACAUAUUAAGAUUUUUGGGUACGUAAAAUACAAUCCUACCUUCUAUAGCCAAAUGCUCGAUGCAUUUUUAAACAUGAUGACACAUAAUACUAUAUAAGUGGUGAACUUGGCAUGAAAGUUUGGAGUAGAAGGUAUUGGAUUGUAUUCAUGGUUAUUUAAAAUUGAUGGCACAAGAAGAUAAUAAGGUUGAAUUUGGAGUUUUUGAUGGACCUUUGGAUGGAGCUUCAAGUGGAUUUUCUAUCGAUGAACAAGGUAUGUACUUUGUUCUAAACACUACAUAUGCUUCCAAAAUAUUUCAAGUAUUUACAUUAUUUUUACAAUAGCAACAGAACAAUCAUCGCAAAGAGGCUUUGGCAAGCAAAGCAUGGCAAGCAGUGAUUAACAAGGUUGAUUAAUUUGAUGGGAGGGAUAUUUCUAAAUAUUUAAGAUCUUAUAUGCAAAAAAUAAAAUUGAAUCAUAUUUCUAAAAAAAGAGAUGAUUCAAUUAUUUGAAUUUACUAUGAUAUCAAAGAUAAGGGAGCAUAUAAGAUCUAUUAUGGGGCAAUUUGGAAGUUUAUGAGAGGUAUUUUUACAUGCGUUGAAGGAUGAGUAUUUUUUGGAAGAUACUGAUCGAGUUACUAAGAAAUCAUUCUUUGAAUGGAUUAAAAAACCUAAUAAGAAUUUGCAAGCUACAAAAUUAUUAAAAGAAUUUGAAAGGUAAUUUUUUUGAUUAUUAAAAAUAAAAAAGUUAACAUUGGGACCAAACAAAGUUAAUUUUUUUCUUCGAGUUGCUAAUGGAAAAUCAUAAGAGAAGUUAGAGGUUCUUCUUGAAGAUAAGGGUAUUUCACCACAGGAGAAUAAAUAUGAUUUGGUGCAGCUAUUGAAGCAACUCCAAUUAUUUCUAUAUCUUUGCUUCUUGCCAUUUUUGUUACUCCUUGUAGUAAUAAAUUAAGUUGAUGCAUCCUAAUUAUUAGUUCUUUCAAUUGUUCUUGCAUUUAUGCCAUUAGAGUCUUUAUUUUAAGAAGCUUUGCCAUGAUAACACUUAGAAAAGUAAAGAUGUCUAAUAUUCCUUAAGACAAAUAGAAGAAAAGACUUGAGAAAAUAUUAAUGAUAAUAUUAAUUUAGAAAAAUAUAAUUUAUAACUUCUAAUAUGCUUAUAUUUCAUAAAGAAAAAAAAUAAUUAUUCUUAAUUAAGAAAAGAUAAAGCUUUGAUAUUAUAAAUAUAGUCUUAUUAAUCUAUUAAAGAUAAGAAAUUAAUAAAAGCAAAUAAUCAAGUGAGACUUUUUUUAAAGAAGUAUGACAAAAUAAAAAUAAAGAAGCAUGUAUAUUAAAAAAAUUUGGAAUACCUAUUGUAAAAAGACAAGAAAACUAAAGACUCCUAAAUUGAAAUUAAAGCAAGAAAGAAGUUGAUAAGAGUGAAGAAAGCUUUAUUCUUCCUUCUAUAUAUACUAUCUAUCUAGGAGCUAUAUGAUAAUAUUCUAUAGGACCUUCAAUAUAUAUUGACUUUGCAAGCUACAUGUCUUAAUUUGUAAUGCAAGUUUUCUAUAUGUACACCACAUAAUUAGCUUGUUCUAUAAGCUACUCAUACAAAUGACACAUGGCUAAUUUGUUGACCAAAUUUCUAACCUAAAAGUCAAUUAUAAACAUGUGUAAAAUCAAAAUAGUAUCUAUAAAGCUUAUAGAAAGUUUUUUUAGAAGAUAUUAUAAAAUUAAUCGAUUUUUAUCUACUUCUAUCUAAUUAUAUUGGUAAUUAUUAGAAUAAAUAUGUAUAUUUGUGAUAAUAUGUUCCUAACAUUUUAUUGCUCAAAGAAGAAAUUAUUCUAAUUUUAAGAUUUUUUUUCUUCUUAUUGAUCAAAAUUUUUUCAUUACCUUCUUUUGAUGCAAGUUAAGAUUGUCUAAAAAGAGUUUUUAACAAUUUUUGUUAUUUUCUUGGUUAAUAAGUAAAUUUAAAUUCAAAUCUUGAUAAAAACAUGCUUUAAUAAGCUUAGCAAUAAUUUAAAAUACUUGCUAAGAUAAAAUAUUCAAGAUUCUUAAGAUUCAUAUAUAUAGUGACUAGUCUAAAAGUACCUUCUAGAUAAUAGUACCAUUCUUUAAAUAAAUCUAUAAUUAUAAGAUUUUUUUUUUAAAUUGUUUUAUUUUAGAUCUUAUAAUUGAUCUUAGUUGCUAAAAUUUAUUUUGAAUAAAUAGCUAUUGAAUGAAGUUUAUUAUUUAUUCCCAUUUGUAAUAAUAUGAUACUUAAAGCAAAUUUUGAUGCAUUUGUUUCCAUAAAGAAUGGCUUAGAAAAGUUGUUAUAAUAUAAAUUUGGUGCAAAAAUAAAGAUUAUCUUUAAAGCUUCAAAUUUUUUUUUGGCUUCUUGAUUCUACUCAAAUUUGUCUUUACAAGUCAAACAUGUAAAUGGAGCUAUAAUUUGAGAGAAAUUCUUGAUAAAGAUUUGAUAGUAAUUGAUAAAAUUCAAAAAAAAUUAGACAUCUUUUAUUGUUUUUGAUAGAUUCUCUUAGGAUUCAUUAUGAGUCCAUUAUUUGAAAUGAUAUAUCUUAAGACGUCAACUUGUGUAGUUUAAAAUAUAUACUUUUUUUUAUUUUAGUAUAGAAUUCUAUAUCUUUUGAUUUUUGUUAGAUAUAACAAACACAAAUUUAAUGUUCUUUUGUAUUCUUAGAAUAGAUUAAGAUGUUGUAAAAAAAAAAAUAACAAAAUAAUCUGAACACUUUCAAAAGAUAUCAGUCAUUAAAUAUUAAAAAGAUGUUCAGAUAUUUGUAAGUUUAAAAAUCAUGACAUUACAUUCAAAAUAUCCAUACUUACCUUAAAAUAUAAUAUUUCGUUUAUCUCCUUCUUUGAUGCAUAUCAAAUUUUAUGCUCUUUUUAAAUCUAUUUUAGUAUAAAUCUUAGCUUGAUUCAAUUGAUAAAAAAAUAUAAAUAUCAAAGAUAGUUUUGACAUCAUAUUAUAUCAUUUGCUAUUAUUGAGAUGUAGCUAGAAUGGUGAUUAUUCUAAUUGUAUUUCAUCUUAUGACAAAAGCAAAUGUUUCAAAAAAAUCUUCCUCUCCUUGAUGUUCAAAUUCUCUUAUAACCAAUUGAGUUUUGUAUUUCUUAGGAAUUUCUUUAGUUCUUGUCUUUUUUUUUAAAAGUCCAUAUACAUAUUAUAAGCUUCUUUUAUUAAUCAAUAAGUCAUAUACUUUCUAUAUAUUGGUUUUUUUUAUAUUUUGAAUUUCUUCUUCAAUAGCUUCAUUCCAUUUCUCUUUUUUACUUUCUUCAAAAUAAUCUAUAUGAUCUUCUUUGAUAUAUGCACUUAAUAGUCAAUUAUCUCAAAACUUAAUAGAAGAUUGUUUAUACUAGUUUAUUCUUCUUCAAACUAAGAAUUGUCUAGCUUCAGAAGGAGAAGCAAGUGAUACUAGUAAAUGUGUAAUAGAAGAUUAUUUUGUUGUUUCUAAUGGUGUUUGUGGAUGAAAAAAUAAGUGUUAUUUUCAUGUUUUAAUAUUUAUAUUCUUAAUUAUCUAUUAUUGGCAUAGAAUCUUCACUUAUAUUAUUGGCUAAAGUAAAAAAAAAAAACUUCAUGAUCUUCACCAUCGUUUUUAUUUUUAAUAUUUUAAUAUCUAAUUUUUGAUUCAUUAAAAAUGACAUCUCUACUAAUAAUAUAUACAUAUAUAUAUAUAUAUAUAUAUAUAUAUAUAUAUAUAGGAUUAUAAACACAAUAGAUCUUAUUAUUGGAGUCAUAACCAACAAAUAUGUAUUUUUUUAUUUUACUUUAAAGUUUCAAAUGUAACUUCUUUGGAAUAUAAAGAUAGAUAAUACAACCAAAACUUUAUAUAUGGUGUAUAUUAUGUUUUUUUUUUGUAGUAUAAUUUGAUAGGUAUUUUUUCAUUGUUAGCAUUUACAAAGUAUAAAUUUACAAGAUAAUUUGUGAUAUUAAUAGCUUCAAGCCAUAGAAUUAAAGGCAAUUUACUAUCAUAGAAUAGAAUUUUGGCUUUUUCAACAAUAGUUUUGUUGCAUCUUUCAACAACACUAUUUUGCUAAGAGGUUAAUGCUUGAAUAAAUUGUCUUAUUAUGCCAUGUUUUUUUAUAAUACUCUUGAAAUUCUUGUGAUAAGAAUUUACCUCUUUUGACUAUCUUUAAUGUCAAAAAUUUCUCACAUAUUUUUUUUUCUAUUUAUGCUUUGAAUAUGCAAAAUAUGGAAAAUAUUUCAUCUUUAGACUUAAAAAAAAUAUAUCCAAAUUUGUUAAGAAUAGUCAUUAAUAAAAAUAUCAAAGAACUUAGUACCACUUAUUGAAGGUUCAGAGACAAGCCCAAUUAAAUCAACAUCAAUUACUUGUAGAGGUUUUUUGGAUCUAUUGAAGCUCUAUUUAGGAAAAAAAUUAUGUGUUGGUGAUUUGCAUUAUAUGAUUUGCAUAAUGUUUUUGAGAUGGUAUCAAGAGAAGGUCAUCCUUUAAUUCUUUUUUUUAUAUAGAAUUAUUUUAAGCUUAAAUAUUUUAGAUGUUUAAAUCUAUUAUACUAUAGCUUUGAUUUUUUUAUAAUAGAAUAAUUAACUUUUAAUGUAGUUUAAUUGAUACAAUACAAAUCAUAAAAAAGUUCUCAAAAUUCAGUAAGAAUAAUACUUUGUUCUCCACUUUCAUCAAUAAUCCAAUACUUAUCAAUUGAAAAAAUCAUGAUAUUUCCUUUUUGUAUAAGAGAAUCCAUUGACAAUAAGUUUUUCUUUAAAGAAUGUACAAGUAAAAUAUUGCUUACAUUCUUUAGAUUUCCAUUAUCAAUUUUUAUCAUAAUCUCUUUUUGUCAUGAUAUAUUAUGUAGCUCAUAUCCAAAAAUUCUAAUUUUAUAAAAAAAAUAUUAACUUAAGAAAUUUCAAUGCUAACUUAUUGCUUAUUAUGUAUUUUAAGGCUCUAUUAUCAAGAUACUAAUUGAAGUCUUCAUUUCUCCCUUUUGCACUUAUGAUAAGAUUUUCUUCAACUUCUUUAAAUGUUACUUCUUUUUCAAAGUUUGAUGAAGUAUCUUCAGCUUAAAUGAUGCUUGCUGAGAGUUUGUUAAUGUUUGGUAGUAAUUUUCUAAAUCUACACUCUUUGGCCAUAUGAUUUGGUUUUUUGCAAACAUAGCAAUGGAUCAAAUACACAUCUUCUUUAAAAUAGAAGUUUCUUAUUAUUCCUUGUCCUCUGGAAAAGAAAUAUCUUUCUUUACAAGAUAAGUAAUUUUUUUUUCAUCUUGUAUAUAUCAUAUUAAAAUCUAUUCUUGAAGUUUGUUUAGACAAAUCUUCACUUUCAAAAUUAUCAAUUAUAUUAACUUUCAACUAUAGCUUAUGAGUUUUUGCUAUAAGUUUUGAUGAUAUUUUUUUAAAGCUUGAAAAUUGAUCUACUGAAGUUAAACUAUAUAUUAGACUGUCAUUGGAGGGAAGGAAGUCAUUUAAGUCAAUUUGCACAAGGAUCUUGGUUGGAAAUUUAUCAUUAAGUAUUACAAGCUAAUUUUCAAUUUCUUAUAUUAUCUUUAAAAAUUCUUCUAUAGAGGUAAAGUUUCAAAACUUCAAUGUAGAUAGUUUAUAAUAAAGAUUGAGUACCCUAGUAGGAUCUCCACUUCCAUACUCAUGCUUUAAUGUCUUCUAUGCAUCCACAAGAACUUCAUAGUCUAUCACUAUGUCUACAAGAUAGUCUUUUACAACAAAUGUUAAUAUUUUUAUAGCUUUCACCUUCAUCUCAUGUACUUGAAUCUUUGACAAUGAGUACCUAAUGUAUAUGCAUGGAUAUAUUGUUGGUAAAAACUUCUCAAUGGUGAGGUUCCAAAGACUUUCAACUUACAAGAAAGUCUUUAUCUUUAAGCUCUAUAUAUAAUAGUCAUCUUUUCCAACCAAUUUGUUGAUCUCGCCAAUCUAUUUAGAGCUACUCGACAUUUUUCGAAGCUUCAACAAUUACUUUCAACAAUGCAUGCUUAAAAACAAUUGCUUUCUAGCAAUUAUAAGGUAAUUCUCUUGAAUUCUCUAUUCUUGCUUUGAUACCAUAUUGAAGACUCAAUGUAUAAUGCAUGAGAGAAAGUUGUCUCAUUAUAAGGUUGAUAUCAAUAGACACAAUUCUAUGAUGAUGUGUUUGAAGAUCCUUUCUAUAUACAUGCUAUUUCUCCUUAUGUUCAAACUACAUUCAUGCUUCAAUCACAACGUCUAAUACCCUGACUGUAGUCUGAUAUCCUGAUUGUGCUCUAAUAUCCUAAUUGUGGUCUAUUUUGCAUGGUUAUCAACUUCAUCCAUGUAUGAGAGGGUCUCAAGCAAGUAAGAGAGAAAUCUUAGGUGCCCCUCUUUUUUUGCCAUUAAGGAUGUCACUAAAAAGUUUUACUGAUGGCUAAAGCGUUAUCUCAAGCUAAGUUGAUUGAGAGUAACAAACAUUUUAAGUCAUUUAGUUGAGUUUCAGCCUAGUUUUGAUUUCAUCCUCCUCUUGGCGGAAGCUUCUUCCUCAUAUUGGUAAGGUAAAUGACAUUGAAAGAUUCAGUUGAGAAACGACUGCUGGCAUAUUAAGACUUGGUAAGAUGGUUUACCAUUGCCAGUGCUCCACCUGGGAAUGAAGGCGACCAUGACAGCAAUACUUGGUAAGCCUGGCUUCGAACUAUCUUGAUGGAACCUCUCCCUGAUCGUAGUCUCUUAUCCUGUACUUCACGUUGUGAUGCAGACUCUGAAACCAUCAUUAUUACAUCAAGGUCUUUUGCUCCAGAUUUUUAAUUUGAUGCAGACUCCGUAACGCCUCGGCUAGGAUCAAGCCUCCCCCUCCCUUCCCCGCUCAUGGCAAGCGUUAGGCGAGUUCCUUAUUAUCAUCAAGCUGUUGUGUUCCAAAUUCCGACAUGUAUGCUGUCACCAAUGAAGAAUCAGAUAGAGGUUAACUCGGUCACCUGGGCAUGAUGCAUUUUUGGUCGCGAUUGUAUUAAGUUGCUCCACUAAUGCGGUGACAUGGUGAGGCAGUGGCCAAGCGACUUGUUUAUACCUGGUGAGGCAGCACCCACUUGAACAAUAAUCAGGAUUAGGAAUGAGACAAUAUCAUCUACCCAAUAACCUGACCGCCGCUUCGAAAAAAAAUAAAAAUAAAAAUAAAAAAACUCGAUCCGGUCCUCGUUUCGCUAGCAUCCAGAGGUUGAUAGUAGAGAGGUUGCAGGAUUGUUGCAUGACCAGAUCUGCUUUUCCAAUUUGCAAGUUUAAUCACCGACACGCUCCGGUCGUUCAAAGUCUCGAAGGAUCGGCUGUGGUGAAAAUAGGAUAACAAGACGCCACGUACGCGUCCAAGUGUGAGGCUCUGAGUGGUUGAACCCCACACCUGAAUCCACGUGUGGCCUUGGUGGCCGCACGUUCGAUAUUUGAAUCGGUUAUUUAAACUAUUGGAUGCCCUCACCGAUGGAUGUUUCUUAUUUCAUCCAUCCUUACGUCUAUUGGUGGGGAAUUUUAAAUGUUAGGGUUGUUUUAAAUAUAACUUAGGAUCUCAGUGUUGGUUUGGAGAUUUAUAUUUAGACGCUUUAUAUUUUCAAGAACUAUGUUUUUGGUUGUCAAGUUCAAAUCUGACCUAUUUAAUAUUGUUGUAAGAAUAUCAAUGUUUAGAAAUAGAAGUUUUAAGUAUAAAAGGAAAUAUGUUUGAAAAAAACAGGCUAUUGAAAUAAGUAAAUUAUCAUUAAAAAUACACACAUUUAGAGGUUAGUAGUAAAAAUCUAAAACUAAUUUAUGAUUAUUGAUAAAGUAAUAUAGAAAAAAAAGAAAAAUUAUUGUAAUUUAAUAACUUUGAUAAUACAAUUAGAAAAUAAGAAGUUGACAAGAAAUUAUUAGAAUUUUAAAAAAAGAUUUAAAAAAUAUACAAGUGGUAUUUAUGGUGGUGCAUCAAAUUUCUAUUAUCAUGUUGGUUGUUAAAUCAUAAAAUAUUUUGUAUAAACAAUAGAUUCAAAAACUUCAUUGAGUAGGCAAAUUACAAGAGAAAUUGAGAUUAUAGGACAAAAAUAGAGAAAGAAAAGGUUAAAUAUGAAAGAAAGAGAAUAUAUAUAUAUAUAUAUAUAUAUAUAUAUAUAAAUUAUAAAAAUAAUUGAUUUUAUAUAAAGUUUUUUAAAAAAAAUCCAUCUAUAUAAAGAUAAUUACAUAUCUCAAUGUAUGAAUAAUACAAAUGUUCUAUCCAUACCUUGUUACAGCUAAUGUCAAGGACAAGAACUCGAUGAAAAAGCAAUUCAGACAAGUGAGCCUUCACUCAAAGAAAGGUAAUAAAAUAUAAAUAAACAAAUAUAUAUAUUGAAAGAAAAACUGGAAUGGCUAUUGUCAAAAGACAAAGAAACUAGAGACCCUUGAAACUAGACUAGAAGCAAGAAAGGAGUUGACAAGAGUCAAGAAGGCUUCACUCUUGUUUCUACAUAUACUAUCUAACUAGGGGCUACGUGGGGACGUUCUAUAGGAUCUCUAAUAUGUGUUGACUUUGUAGGACACAUGCCUUGACUUACAAGACAGGUUUUUCUAUGUGUGGGCCAUAUAAUUAGCUUGGUCUUCAAGCUAACAACAUGUGUGGCACAUUGCCAACUUGUUGACCACGUUUCUAAUCCAAAAAGUCAAUUAAAGAUACCUAUGAAGUCAAAGCAGCGUCUAUAAAGCUUCUAGGAAGCUACUAUAUCAAAUACUAUAGAAUUAACUUACUUUUACCUACUUUUACUUACUUCUACAUAUUUGUAUAUGUAAUUAUAAGUAUGUCCAUGACAUUACCUUCCCUUCUAGGGAUGAGUUCCUUGAGGAGUGGUCAUCAUAUGUUGAGAAAAUCUAUCAUACAAUGAAUUGUAUUCGCCACAUACUCUGAUCUUUGUACUCUUCGAAGAUGACUGAUAGGGCAUCUCAACCAUCGAUAGUGUCACAUACCAGGGCGGGAAGACCACCCAAUUAUUUGAUCAUUGUUGAGGCCUUCGUAACUUCCUUCGAAUAAAACAUUUGGAACACCAUCAAGAGUUGUUCCUACCUCUAACAAAAUCACCAAACAUCAAGAGUCCCUUUCCAAGUCGUGAUACCAAACGUGUUGUAUCUCGCCAUCUAUUUGAGGAAGAACAUGUCGUUCUUGAAGAUUUUCAUCUAGAUUGCAUCGUCUUGAAGGUUAAGACAAUCGUAGAGUUUUGUCCAGCAGGUCAGCAAAUGAAGACUCUUAAGUCGAAUCCAUUGGUCAUUGGCUCUCCAUCUCCUGAGCGUCACAACUACAAAGAAGCUACAAACAAGGAUUGAAAGUAGAAUGUUAUCUUGUAUAGAUAUAAAGAAAAUUUUUAUCUUGAUUUUGAUGGAUGUCAUCGAUGAAAAGCAUCUACCACCUUCGAUGCAUUUGCAAGAUUCUUUACUAGCUCUCAUGUGCGUUCACUAAUAUCAUAUCUAUGCCAAUAGACAAGAUAUUUCAAUUUAUUUCGGUGCUACCUUGAAUCUUAGACUUCUUUUACUUCAAACUCUUCAUUAUUAUCUACUUCUAUAAGAGGAGAUAGAGCUUGUCGUCUUCUUGGUAUGUCCACUGUUUUGUAUGGUUCAAGAAGAGACAUGUGGAAUACUAGAUGGAUAUUCAUUGACUCUGAUAGAUGUAAACAAUAUGCAAGUGGAUUGAUUUGUGCAGAAAUAGAAAAUGGUCCUAGCCUUCCAUAGUCCAACUUGUCACAACAACGAGUGAUCUUGAUAUUAUGAUAAAGUAGCCAUAUCUUAUUACCCAAGUAGAAUGGUGGUUGUUCCUUUCGAUAGACAUCGGCAUUGAUCUUUUGUUGUUCUUGAUCUUCUUUUAACUACGCCUUCAUCGUUGCAUGUAGCUCUGACAAAUGAAUUGCUAAAUCUUUUGCAGUAGGAUUAUCAACUUUUGAAAAGUCAAAAGUAUCAAGUCGUGGAUGAUAAUCAUAAUUAGCAAAGAAAGGUAUUUAUUUUGUAGAAAAAUGUACUGUAUUAUUGUAAGCAAACUCUGCCAAUGCCAAAAGAGUUGUCAAAUCAUCUUGUUGGUAGUUGAUGGUACAUCUUAAAUACUAUUCCAAAACUUGAUUAAUACGCUCCAUUUAUCCAUCAGUUUGAGGAUGGAAUGCCGAAGAUAGUUUUAUAUCCACUUUUAAAAUCUUGAAAAGAAUCCACCAAAAUCUUGAUACAAAUUGAGUUCUCCUAUCUGAUAUAAUAUUUUUGGAUAAUCCAUGAUAGUGAUAGAUAUUGUUAAGAAAGAGCUUAGCUGUUUCUUCACCUGUGAUAGAUUUUGUACAUAGUACAAAAUGUGCCAUCUUGGUAAAACGAUCUACUAUCAUGAAUAUAGAGUUAUAAGAAUCUAAGAUUGGAAGAUCUAUGAUGAAGUCCAUAUAAACAAAAGAUCAUGGUUGUUUCUAGAAUGGAUAAUGGCUGAAGAAGUCCAAAAGGUCGAUGACGAGGAGUUUUUGAUCUUGAGCAAACAUCACAUGAUUGUACAAAAUCUUUGACUGCCUUCUACAUUUGAGGCCGCCAAAAAUUCCUAGAUAUCAGCUCCAUAGUCUUAUUGUAUCCAAAAUGUCUUGUUGCUAGGAAGUCGUGAUGAGCUUGAAGAAUACGUAAACGUGCUUCUUCUUUUAGAACAUAUAGGCAUCCUUCAAAAUAGAAUAGGUUAUUUUUGAACUCGGAUUUAGAGGGAUCAUGAGAUUUAGAAGAAUUAUUCUUGAUAUCAUGAAUAAGAGGGUCUGAAGACAUACUUAACUGAACUUACUUUAUAAAAGUUAAAUCAACAAUCAAUGUUGAUUUUAUUGUUCGAAAAUGAAAUUCCUCCGGCUUCAAGAAAACCAUUCUUUGUUGCUCAAAAGUUGCAUCUCCUUCUUUUGGUGCAAGAUAAGAACGUCUAGAUAAGGCAUUGGAUAAACCUUGUUAUUUUUUUAGCCGAUAAGUGAUGAUGAAUUCGAAUCUUAAUAAAGACAUGCUCCAACAAGCUUGACGAUGAUUUAAUAUGCGUGUUGACAUGAAAUACUCGAGGUUCUUGUGAUCCGUAUAUAUGGUGAUUGGACUAUAAUGAAACCAUUCUUGAAAAGAAUCCACAAUUGCAAGAAGUUCUUUUUCAUGGAUCUCAUAAUUGAUUUCUGCUGCUGAGAAUUUUUUUGAAUGAAAGGCUAUUGUAUGAAGUUUGUCAUCUGUUCCCAUUUAAGACAAAAUCGUACCUAGAGCAAAGUCUUAUGCAUUUGUUUCCAUAAAGAAUGCUUUGGAAAAAUCAACACAAUACAAGAUUGCUUGCAGAAAUAAACGAUGUCUUCAAAAAUUUAAAAGCAACUUCCGCUUCUUGAUUCUAUUGGAGUUUGUUUUUAGAAGACAAACGUGUAAGUUGAGCUAUAACUCGAUAGAAGUCUUUGAUGAAGAUCCGAUAGUAGUUGGUAAAUCCCAAAAAAUAUUGGACAUCUCUUACCGUUUUGGGAUCUUUCAAUCUAUAAUAGUUUGAGCUUUCUUAAGAUCCAUCAUAAGUCCAUCACUUGAAAUGAUGUAACCUAAGAAAUUAACUUGCGUAAUGUGGAAUACACACUUUUCUAUCUUAGCAUAGAGUCAUGCAUCUCUUAAUUUUUGUAAACCAUGACGAACAUGAAGUUCAUGUUCUCCUGGAUUUUUAAAAUAGAUCAAGAUAUCGUCUAGAUAACAGACCACAAAAUCGUCCAAAAACUCUCGAAAAACAUCAUUCAUUAGAUGUUGAAAAGCUGCUAGUGCAUUUGUAAGUCCAAAAGGCAUGAUGUUGUAUUCAAAAUGUCCAUAUGUAGUUCGAAACGAAGUCUUCCAUUUAUCUCCUUCUUUGAUGCGUACUAGAUUGUAUGCUCCAUGGAGAUCUAUUUUUGUAUAGAUCUUAGCUUGAUUCAGCUGAUUAAGAAGUCCAAAUAUUAAAGGUAGUGGAUACCUGUUCUUGAUGGUAAUCUUGUUGAGUCCUCGAUAAUCAACACACAUCUGCAAUGAUCCAUCUUUUUUCUUCACAAAUAGAAUUGGAGCUCCUGUCAGAGAUUUAGAAUGGCGUAUGAAAUUCUUGGCUAGAUUUUCUUCAAUAUACUCCUUGAGUUCAAUCAACUCAUUUUGUGAUAAAUUGUAGAUUGGUCCGAAUGGCGAUUGUACUCCUUCUUGAAGAUCAAUUGAGCAAUUAUAGGGACGAUAUUCCGGAAGUGUAUCUGCAUUUUUUUUUUCAAAUACAUCUUAAAAUUCUUGAUAUUGGCUUGGAAUGCAACUUGAAGUCUUUCCACCAGUAUUAAUAGGUGUGGCAUAAAUAAUAUAUGGUGAUUCUUUCAUAGUAGCAUGCAAGAAAGCUUUUGUACCUAUAAACACGGGUUUAAUUGAACUAGACUUAUGACUAUCUACUUGAUUAAUUACACUGUUAACUAUACUUUUAGAGAAAGUAAGAUUUCAAAAAAUCCAAUCUAUUUGAGGAUUGUAUUUUUUUAACCAUGAUAAAUCUAAAAUGACUAGAUUAGAGGGAGAUUUAAUGAUAUUAAAUACUACAAAGCUAUUAUGACUAUUGAUUAUUACUUCUAUAGGAAGGAUUUUGUGAGUAAUAUCUCUAAAAGAUAAUAGACGACCAUCUAUGAUUUCUACAUGAACAGGUUUAGUUUUCUUUACUAAAGAUAUGCUAUGUCUUUUGGUAAAUUCUUCAUCUAAGAAACAUGCUAAGGCUUCUAAAUUUAACAAGGCAGAGGCUUUGUAAUAUUUAGGUCCUAAAAUAAUAUUUAAUAUAAAACAAAGAGAGGGCUCUAAGGAGAGAAUAGGACCUUUACUAGAUGUUGUGCAAGGUUCCAGCCGCACAGUCUCUAUUGUAGCUGGACAAACUCAUUUUCCGACAUAUUAUCUUCUUUCAUAGCCAUAUUUCUUAUUUUGUGGUUGCGUCGUUUCUUUGGACAAUGUUGAGCAGUGUGUUUUGGUUCUUUAUAAUAUAAACAUAAUCCUUCUUGAUGACGACGAGUCUUUUCUUACUUAAUAAGAGAUUUGAAACGUAUUGCAUCAAUUUGCAUAUCCUCUACUUCUGAAUAUAUGUAUUGAAGAGGUGUUGGUGUUGCCAUUGAAUUAUAGUAAUAUUGAGGUCCACUUGUAUAGUUCUCAGAUCAAAAUUCAAAAAGACGAUUGUCACACUUCAUAGCAAAGUCAAUUGCUUAACUCAUUGUUUAAGGAUCAGGUAAGUUGUGCAUUAAUUUUUUUACCUCAUAUUAUAAUCCAUAGAAAAAUUGGCUAAUAAGUGCAGCAUCAUCCCACUAGAUAUCAGUUGCAAGUUAUCAAAAUUGUGAAGUAUACAAUGUUAUUGAUCGAUUUUCUUGUUGUAAAAUACGGAUCUUAUUGGGUGCAACACGAAUUACAUCAUGUUCUCCAUACAUGGAUCAAUACUCCACCAAAAAAGCCUCUAGAUUGUGUAAUAUUGAAUCUCGUUGUUCAAGAAAAGAUGAAAACCACGAUAGUGCUGAAUAUGAAAGAAGAGUAUCAAUGAAUCUAACUUGCGAUCUUGGAGUUUGAUAGCUUUGGGGUUGAAGUUCAAUCACAAGUUGCACUUGAUUGAUAAAUCCUCAAAACUUGGAUCUAGUGCCAUCAAAUUUCUCAAAUAGGAAAAUUCUUAGUUCUCUAAUACUAGAAGGGCGUUCCACCAUAGGAGAAAGGAAAUGAUUUGGUGCAGAUGUUGAAGCAACUCCAAUCAUUUCUAUAUCUUCACUUCUUGCUAAUCUUGUUAGUCUUUGUAGUGGUAAAUUGAGUUGAUGCAUCGCAAGUAUUAACUCCCUCAAUUGCUCUUGCAUUUGUGCCAUUGCACUCUUCAUUUCAAUAAGUUUUGCUAUGAUAAUACUUAGAAAAGAGAAGAUGUCUAAUGUUACUCAAGACAAAUAGAAGAGAGGACUUGAGAACAAAGAAAUUACUAAUGACAAUAUCAGUUCAGAAGAUGAUAAUCCGCAACUUCUAAUAUGCUUAUAUCUUAUCAAGAAAAAGGGGUAAUCCAUUCUUAAUCAAGAUUAGACAAAGCUCUGAUAUUGUAGGUGUACUCUUGUCAAUCUGUCAAGGACAAGAACUCAUUGAAUAAGCAAUUCAGUCAAGUGAACCUUCAUUCAAAGAAAAGUAACAAAAUAUAAAUAAACAAAUAUAUAUUGAAAGAGAAACUGGAAUGGCUAUUGCCAAAAGACAAAGAAACUAGAGACCCAUGAAACUAGAUUGGAAGCAAGAAAGGAGUUGACAAGAGUGAAGAAAGCUUCACUUUUGUUUCUAUAUAUACUAUCUAACUAGGGGCUAUGUGGCAACGUUCUAUAGGACCUCUAAUAUGUGUUGACUUUAUAAGACACAUGCCUUGACUUACAAGACAAGUUUUUCUACGUAUGGGCCAUAUAGUUAGCUUGGUCUUCAAGCUAACAACAUGUGUGGCACAUUGCCAACUUGUUGAUCAUGUUUCUAAUCCAAAAAGUCAAUUAAAGACACCUAUGAAGUUGAAGCAACAUCUAUGAAGCUUCUAGGAAGCUACUAUAUCAAAUACUAUAGAAUUAACUUAUUUUUAUCUACUUUUACUUACUUCUAUAUAUUUAUAUAUUUAAUUAUGAGUAUGUCCGUGAUAGUUAAUCUCCCUCUAUUAAUGCAAAAUCCUUGUGUUGCUCCAAAUGAUAUUUCUAAAUAUUUUUCUAAUAAUGAAUGAAGUUUUGUAUAGGUUCCUACAUUGCAUUGUGGAUAGAAUAACUUUUUUAGAGAACUUUGUACUAAAGUUGCGGAUGUCUAUUGCCAUUGCAAAAAUAGCACUACUCCAAAAGACUAUCCUCUUUAUACUCUCAUUGGUCAUCAAUCAUAAUUGGUGGUGGUGGUCCUAGUUGGUGUCAAUCUAUAAAGCACCUUGAUUCAAUAUGAAACUCCUUCAGUUGCAAAAUAUAGAAGAUCGGAUGGACCCAAAUAUAUGAUAGAAGCUCAAGAUGAUUUGCAACAUUAGAAAUUAUUGUAGAACUGCAAAAAGAUCUAAGCCAUCGAGAUGCUAGCUUACAGACUUAGAUUGAUAUAGCAAGUAGAAGGUUGGAGUUAGAUAGUAAUAUCUUGUCAUCCUCCUCGAAGAUCUUGUAUUGUCGAUGGUUAUCCACAUACUACUUUUAUGAAUUCUAUGCAAUAAAGAAAUAAUAUCAUGUCUCUUGUAAGAUUAUUGUAAAUCGUUCUAUAAAUUCUUCCAUUGUCAAAUUAUUGGUAUCAAUGGGGCAAUGAAGAGUUACUAGCAUAAUUGGAUACUAACUAGUAUUAGAGAAGAAUAGUGAAUGACCAGUACUUACUUGAAUAUUAUCUUUAAAGACAAACUCUAAGGGCAUCAAAUAUUCAUCCUAAUCAUUAUGAUGAACUACCACAAAUGCCUGUAGCAUAUCUUCUAAGAUCCUAUUUGCAUGCUCUAUUUUCCAUCUAUUUGAGAAUGGAAGGUUGUAGACAUGAUAAAUUGUAUAUCUAAUAGUUGGAAUAAGGCUUGUUGAAAACUCCUCGUGAAAUAUGGAUCUCAACAUGAAAUGAUGACAUGAGAUAAUUGAUAAUGACAAAGGAUAAUAUUGAAGAAGAUUUAUAAAAGUGUUGAGAUAUCAAUAUCUCAGCAUCUUAUGGCCAAAUAAAGUUGCUUUAAGAGUCAAUCUAUAAAGAUAGCAAUUACAAUAUAAUUAUGAAGCAUUUACAGUAAAUAUAUAAUAAGAUCCAUAGUCAUUUACUUCAAAUAUGCUAUAAAUAAUAGAAUUGGCUAUAAUAGCCUAAAAGACAUUGCAUUGCAUACUUAAUUAUGCUAGCAUAAUUUACAAGGAUGCAAAAAAGGUCAAACAUCACAAUCCAAACUUGUCCAAAAUCUUGUCUUUGAGAUCUGUGAUAGAUUCUUCUCAUGCCCUAUAUGUCUACAUGUUGGGAUGUCAUAUCUCUUUUGAAAUAUGCAUGUUUAAAAUAUAGUAUUACCAAGCACAUAAAUUUCUUUUUAAAAUAGAAUAAGCGAUCGUUGAUACAAUAAUCUUAAUAUUAUCUAUUUUUUAUAGAUCAGUUAGUAUUUCAAAAUAAGCAUUGUAACACAUAGCUUUCUUUUAUUCCACUCUUCUUGUAAAGUUUGAAAUGACACUUCUAAUUGUAGCAACUUUUGUCUUAUCAUUUGAUUCAAAUUUUAAAUGAGAUUUGCAUGAUAAAGUAUCGGACAUGGUAUAUUGUAGUCCUUGCUUCUAUCCAAGCUGAAUGUCAAAAAGCUAUAAUCAUUCUUCUUGAUGAUAAUGUUGUGAUUCUAUAUUUUUCAGAUACAAAUCAUGUAGUAGGGAUCGAUUGUUAGUCCAAAUAUUCACUGGCUUUUCCAAUAAAUAAUGUUGCUAUACCUUUGUGGCAUGUAUAAUUCCUAGUUGCUCUCGAUCACAUGUAGAAUAAUUAUGCUUUUUCUUUGUGAGUUUGUAUGAUUCAUAUGAUUUAUAUUAAAGGCUCCUAUCAAAGACUUAUUGAAAAAUUAUACCAAUAAUAAAUCCAAAAGCAUCAAUUCCAAGUAUAUAUAGAAGGUCGAAAUCAUAUGAUUUCAAUAUUAGAGUAAUAAUCAGUACCUCUUUCAACUCCUCAAUGGUCUUUUUUUGUUCCAAUUUCCAUUCAAAUGAAAUAUCUUUUUCUAUGAAGCUUGUUAAUGAAGCAGCAACGUGUACAAAUUGCCAAACAAAAUGGUAAUAAUAUCCAACAAGAUUAAGAAUAAGCAGAUUUUAGAUGCAUCUUUGAGAGUUGGUCAAUCUUCCACUACUUUUACCUUGUCUUGAUCCAUACACACACCUUUGGAGGACACUACAUUUUCCAAAAAGGUGACCUUUGACUUCCAAAGUUCACACUUUAAUUACUUAUAAUAGAAACAACUAUCACAUAGCUAAUGUAAUAGUUUUUGUAGAUGUUGCUUAUGCUCCUCAAGGAUUUUAUUAUAGAUUAGGAUAUUAUUAAUGAAGACAACUAUAUACUUUUCUAAAAGGUCCAAAAAUAAUUUAUUCAUAUGAUCUUUAAAAGAAGUUAAAGCAUUGAUAAAGCCUUUAUGUAAGAAUUUGUCUAAUGACUUUUGUAACUAUUAACUUCAAGACGACAAAAUCGAGAUGAAGAUCCUUAAGAACAACAUGUCCUUCCUUCAAUAGAUGGCGAGAUACAACGUAUUUAAUAUCACGACCUUGGAAGAGACUCCCAAUAUUUUGUGAUUUUAUUAGAGGUAGGAACAACUCCUAACGGUGUUCAAAAUGUUUUAUUUGAAAGAAGUUAUAAAGUCCUCAACAAUGUCCAAAUAACAGGGUGGUCUUCUCGCCCUGGUAUAGGAUACUAUAGAUGGUUGAGAGGACCUAUCAACCAUCUUUAAAGAGAGCAAAGAUUGGAAUAUGUAGCAAAUACAAUUCACCGCAUCUUAUUCUUUUUUAACAUAUGAAGACCGCUCCUCAAAGAACUUGUCCUUAGAAGGAGAGGUAAUGUCAUGGACAAAUAUAUAUUUACCUUAAUAGUUACUUAUAUGAUUAAGUAGAAGUAGGUAAAUAUAUAAUAAUUUCAUAAAUUCUUCUAGAGAAGCUUUUUAGAUGCUUCAUAGAUGCGGUUUUGACUUCAGAUGUGUUUGUAGGUUAGAAACUUGGCUAAAAAGCUAAUCAUAUAUUGGUAGCUUGUGGAACAAAUUAUCUCCAUGUAGUAGCUUAUAGAUAACUUUGUAAAAGAUUCUUUGAUGACUCCCAUGUACAUUCACUAAUAUCAUAUCCAUGCCAGUGAAUAAGAUAUUCCAACCUAUUUCGAUGCCACCUUGAGUCUAAGACUUCUUCUACGUCAAACACUUAGUUAUUAUCCACUUCUAUAGGAGGAGGUGGCAUUUGUCUUCUUUCCAAGUUUUUUAGUAUCUUAUACGGCUCAAGAAGAGACACGUGAAAUACAAGGUGGAUCUUCAUAGACUCCACUAAAUAUAAUCGAUAGACAAUAGGAUUGAUUUGUUCACAAAUAAGAAAAGGUCGCAGCCUACGAUAAUCUAAUUUAUCAUAAGGACCAGUAGUCUUGAUAUUACGACGAAGUAACCAUGCCUUAUCAUCCAUAUUAUAAUGUGAUUGGUCCUUGUGAUAGGCAUCUGCAUUGGUCUUUUGUCGUUCUUGAGCUUCUUUUAAUUGUAUAUUCAUUGUUGUAUGUAGCUCUGACAAACGAUUUGCUAAAUCUUUCGCUACAGGAUUAUCAACUUUUAAAAAGUCAAAAGUAUCAAGUCGUGGAUGAUAACCAUAAUUGGUAAAAAAAAGAUGUUUGUUGGAUAGAAGAAUGUAUCGAAUUAUUAUAUGAAAACUCUGCCAAUGGUAAAAGAGUUGUCCAAUCAUCUUGAUAAUAAUUGAUGGUACAUCUCAAAUACUGCUCCUAAAUUUGAUUUACUUGUUUUGUUUGUUCAUCAGUUUGAGAAUAAAAAAUUAAAAAAAGCUUUAUAUUCACCUUUGGAAUCUUGAACAGGGUUCUCCAAAAUCUUAAUAUAAAUUGAGUCCUCAUAUUCGAUAUAAUAUCCUUUAGCAAUCAAUGAUAGUCAUAGAUAUUGUCAAUGAAAAGCUUAACUGUUUCUUCACCUGUGAUAGAUUUUGUACAUAAUACAAAAUGUACCAUCUUAGUAAAAUGAUCUACUAUCACGAAUAUAGAGUCAUAAGAACCUGAGAUUUUAAGAUAUCAAGAAAAUGCUCGAGCUUCAAGAAAAUUGAUCUUUGUUGAUUAAAAGAUGAAUUUCCAUCUUUUGGUGCAAGAUAAGAACGUCUAGAAAGAGUAUCCAAUAGACCUUAUUAUUUUUCGGAUUGAUAAGUGAUCUUGAAAUCAAAUCUAGAUAAAAACAUGCUGUAAUGGGUUUGGCAAUGAUUCAAGACACGUGCUGAUAUGAAGUACUUGAGGUUUUUAUGGUAUGUAUACAUGGUAACUGGACUUGAGGUGCCUUCUAGAUAAUGAUUCUAUUCUUGAAAUGAAUCCACGAUUAUAAAGUGCUCUUUGUCAUAGAUCUCAUAAUUAAUCUCAAUUAUUGAAAUUUCCUUCAAUAAAAAGCUGUUGGGUAGAUUUUGUCAUUUGUUCUCAUUUGUGACAACACGGCACCUAUAGCAAAAUUUGACGUGUCUGUUUCCAUAAAAAAUACCUUCAAGAAGUCAACAUAAUAUAAGAUUGGUAUAAAAACUUAUAUAUAAACUUGAAUGGAAUAAAGAAGUAGAAGUCAAACGUAUAAGUGGAGUUAGAACUUGAGAAAAAUUCUUAAUGAAGAUUUGAUAGUAAUUAGCAAAGCCCAAAAAGCAUUGCAUAUCUCGUACUGUUCUUAAAAUCUUCUAAGCUAUGAUAGUUUGAACUUCUUGGAAUCCAUCAUAAGGCCUUUGCUGGAAAUGAUGUAUCCUAAAAAGUCAACUUGAAUAGUAUAGAAUAUACACUUUUUCAACUUGGCAUAUAAUCUUGCAUCUCUAAGUUUCUAUAACAUGCGAUGAACAUGAAAUUCAUGUUCUUCUAUAUUCUUAGAAUAGAUUAGAAUGUCGUCUAAAUAGCAAACAAUAAAAUCAUCUAAAAACUCACAAAAAACAUCAUUCAUAAGAUAUUGAAAAGUGGCUGGUACAUUUGUGAAUCUAAAAGGCAUGACAUUAUAAUCAAAAUGUCCAUACCUAAUUCAAAAAGCAUUCUUUGAUUCAUCUCCUUUUUUGAUACGAACUAAGUUGUAUGCUUCUCCUAGAUCUAUUUUGGUAUAGAUCUUUGUAUGAUUGAGUUGGUCAAGAAGUCCUAAAAUAAAAAGCAAAUGAUACCUAUUUUUGAUGGUGAUCUUGUUGAGUCACAGAUAAUCCAUACACAUUUACAGAGAUUUGUCUUUCUUCUUCUCAAAUAAGAUAGGAGCUCCAACUGGAGAUUUAGAAUGGCAUAUGAACUUCUUUGCCGAAUUCUCAUCAAUGUACUCUUUUAAUGCAACCAAUUCAUUCUGUAAUAAGCUAUAGAUUAGUCUGAAUGGUGGUUGAGUUCCUUCUUGCAGAUCAAUUGAGCAAUCAUAAGAUCGAUAUUCGAGGAGAAUAUCUACAUUCUUCUUUUAAAAAAUAUCUUGGAAUUUUUGAUAUAGGUUAAGAAUACCACUUGACGUUGUUUCACCAUUAGAAAUGGGUGUAGCAUAUAUAACAAAAGAUGAUCAUUCUUUUACAGAAUGCAUGAAAGUAUUUGUACCUACUAAUAUAGGUUUGGACGUACUUGACUUAUGUACUUCUACUUUACUAAUACAAUCUUAAAUUAUAGUAUCAAAAAAAUUAAGGUUAGAAGAAAUUCAAUCUAUUUAAGGAUUAUAUUUUUCUAGCUAUGAUAAUCCUAAAAUAACUGGAUUAGAGGGAGAUUUUAUUACAUUAAAUACUACUACGCUGUUAUGAUCUUUGAUUAUUAUAUCUAAAGGAAUAGUUUCAUAGAUAACAUUUCUAGAAGACAAUAAAUGACCAUCUAUGACUUCUACAUAUAUGGAUUUAACUUUCUUCACUAAGGGUAUUUUUUGAUUUUUGGCAAAAUCUUCAUCUAUAAAACAUGCUAAGGCUCUUGAAUCUAACAAGGCAAAGACUUUGUGAUUAUUAGGUCCUAAAUAUACUUCUAUUAUAAAAUAAGGUGAAGGAUCUGCGCAGAGGAUAGGACCUUUACUAGAUGUUGCACAUGAUUUUAGCUGCACGGCCCUUAUUGUAACUAGAGAAACUUAUUUUUCGACACAUUAGCUUCUUUGAUAAUUGUGCUCCUCAUUUUAUAUUUAAAUUUCUUCUUUGGACAAUAUUGAACAGUGUGCUUAACUUCUCCACAAUAUUAACAUAGCUCCUCUCGGCGAUGUUGAGUCUUUUCUUACUUCAUGAAAGGCUUAAAACGUAUCAUAUCAAUUUGCAUUGAUUUUGGCUUUGACGAAUAUAUUUCAAAAAACAAAAGAAUUGCUGCCAUUACUUGAUUUGUUUUACUCCAAGUAAAAUCUUUGUUCUUGAUACCUUUCAAAUAAACGAUUAUUACAUGCAAUGACUUGAGUAAUAAAUUAUUCUAAAGAUUCUACUUUUGACAUUCUUAAUAACAAAUCUAUGACGCUAUCUUUCAAUCUAUAUUGAAAUUGGUUAAUAAGUACUUUGUCGUUCCAGUCCACAUCGCAAGCAAGAUUUUAGAAUUUGGUAACAUAUGUAAUAACUGAUUGUAAUCCUUGCUGUAAGGAUAAAAGCUUGGUCUCUGCUACUCCUUCUCGAUCACUUUCUCCAAAUGUAGCUAGAAAUAUUUCUAGAUAUGAAUCAAAUCAUAAAGGAGUUAUGAAUCUUUUUUUAUUAAAGAUGCAAACUAAGAGAUAAUACUUCCUGAUAUUAGUGCACCUAUAAAUCCAACUUGGAUAAAUCCAUCAAGAUAUUGAAAAAGGUAUAAUUUUAGAUACAGCUUGACUUGUUACAAAAAUCCUCAAAAUUUUGAUCUUGUUCCAUCAAACUUCUCAAACAUACUAAUCCUUGUCCCUAUCAUACUUGUAGAAGCAAAAUUUCAUGGAUUUGAUUGUAACGUUGAUCUAUUUGCUUCUUAACUGCACAACUUCAUGCCGCAGACUCUGAACUUCUUCCAUAAGCAUAGGCGUAGUACUUCCUUGAUUCAUGUUGGAAAUGCAUGAGAUUUUCACUGUUAGAGUAUUGACAAGCUCAUGAAGAUCUACCAUAGUUACAAAUCUAUUCUCACUUCCAUUGAGAAUAUCAUCCAUAAUCUUUCCUUCCAUAGAACAACUCAAACAAAUUCAAAAAUUAAAUUAAAGGAGGAUAAUCCGUAACCUCUAAAAAUAAAUCCUACAAAGAGGGAUAAUCCACUCUCUUUAAAGAAAAGAUGAGUAUUAGAAAACAAGAUUUUUUGUUUAAAGGUGGAUAGUUUGAAACCUUCAAAACACAACAAUAGAAGUGGAGUAAUCCAUUCACUUCUAAAAUAAGGCAGAAAUAAUAUGUUAGCACUCUUGUCAAACUGUCAAGGACAUGAAACUUGAAGAAAGAGAAUCCUCAAUACACUCUUCUAUGGCUGAAGAGAACUCAAAAGUCACUCAAAAGGUGAUGUAAUAUUAACUAGAAUGGCUAUUAUCAAAAAUAAGAAGAUUAGAAAGUCUUCAAAUAAGACAAAGACUAAAAAGGCAUUAACAAGAGUGAAGAACUACUAUCUAACUAAGAGCUACGUGGCGAUGUCCUAUACGACCUCCAAUAUGUAUUGACUUUGCUAACCACAUGUCAUAUCUUGCAAGGCAAGUUAUCUAUGUAUGUACCACGUAGUUGGCUUGUUCGACAAGUAAUUACACGGAGAUAACUUGUUCUACAAACUCCCAAUACAUGAUUAGUUUUUUGGCCAAGUUUCUAACCUAUAAACACAUCUAAAGUCAAAACCACGUCUAUGAAGCAUUUAAGAAGUUUCUCUAGAAAACUUUAUGAAAUUAUUCUAUAUUUAUCUACUUCUACUUAAUCAUAUACGUAACUAUUGACGUAAAUAUAUAUGUCCAUGACAGUAGGUUGUUUCGCUAUCAUAAUACAUGAAGUCUUGCUUGAGAAUGCUCCGGGCACAUAUCUAUGAAAAUUAGAAUGAAAAUUGCAACAAUAAAAUCCUAACUCUAAUAGAAUACUAACUAAACUCUAAUUAGACCAGAAUAAUACUAAGCAAUCUUUAAUCAAAUUUAAAUAAAUUCAAUGGAAUUACAAAGAAUCAAUAAGAAAUCUUAAAGAAAUAUUAUAAUAAUAAAAAAAUAUUACUCUAAUACAUGUCAAUUCAAUCUUAAUUUAUUCCUAGUUAAAAUCUCAUUGGACUUCAUUCAAACUUUAGGCCAAAAACUAACUAAAUUUUAAGUCGUAAAUAAAUCCUAAUCAAAUCCUAAAUUCUAAAUCAAUUUCUAACCAAAGCUUAAUCCUAAAUCAAACUUUAAUCCUAAAUCAAAUCCUAAAUCUUAAAUCAAACUCUAAUUAAAUUCUAACCAAAUCCUUAAUCCUAAAUCUUAAACCAAAUCCUAACCAAAGCCUAAUUCUAAAUCAAAUCCUAACCAAUUCCUAGUAAUUCCUAUAACAAAUUUAAACCUCAAUAACUAAUGAAUGAUCCAUUGAUCUUGACUUAAAAUUUUCACACUUCUUAAUAAUUAAGUUGAGAAAAAGUAUAAAAAAUUUGAAAAGGAUCAAAAGUACUAAAUAAACGAUAACUUCAAAAACGUGCUCAGGUAUAGACCAGCCUCUUUCUUUGACCUUAAUGCCAAUCUUCCAGAGCCAAUAUCUCUCAUUUUUGCCAUUUAAUUGAUUUUAAAAUUCUCAUAUAUAUAGAAAAAUAAGUCUAAUAUUCUCAUCCAUAAAUUUCACUCCAAUCCAACUAGUAGAUUACAAGAAAUCUUAAAAUCUCUCACUAGACCUAAAACUCUACUUUCUGAGACCUUGACCCAUUUAAACCUCUAUAAUCCUCAAUUCAACCUUAAAAUCAAGGUAAAAUUCAUAAUACAUAUUAAGCACAAAUUUAACCAUUAAUCUAUACAAUUUUACUCAUGGAUCUAUUAUAAAAUUUUCAAAAUCGCCCAAAAUAUCAACCCUAUUUUAUUUCACAAAAAUCCAAGUCAUUAGAAACAAACUUAACUUUGUAGAGCUCUUAGAAAGUCAUAAAAAAUCCAAAUCAUACAAAACUAAUGCUUAUAGAAACCUUAUCUAGUUUGCUAUCAAAUUCCACUCUUUGAUCUGCAAAAGAAUCCUAAAAUCCUUGUUAAAGAUUGGUUUUGUGCCUUAGGGUCUGAUUUUGAUUCUAGUUUAUAAUCAGCCCUCUCUGGGUAUCAAUAUCUAGUUUUUCUAAGUGAUGUUUACUAGAAUUCAUUCUUAGCUUCCUCCUUAAGAUGCUUAUAUCAUUUAUUUUUCUAAUCUAUUUUGUUUUGCCUUCUUUAUGGCUCCACAAAGUAAUUAGAAGUCACUUUUCUAAAAAGACAGCAUUACUACUAAAAGUUUUACUACCUUUCUAUCUUUUAUCCAUAUUUUUCUAUUUUAUCUUUUAACUUCACUCUUCUAUAAUAAGAUCCAUAUUAUCAUCUUUCACCAUAUAGUCAUGUUACAACAUGAUACCACAAUAGUAUUGGCUAAUAGCAUAGGACUCCAUGCUAUUAGUUGUACCCCAUAAUUAUUGAAAUCUAUAGCAUUGACACUCUCUGUAAUCCUAACUGCCUUCUUAAAUGUUUGUGGAACCCUUAAUUCUUUUUACUUGGAUGACAAGUUUCAAUCCUCGUAUAAAUCAAUCCAUCAUCUUUGCCAUUGAAAUAUUGAGAAUUUGAAGAUAUAGAGACUUUAUCUAAAAGACAUAAACUUGUACCGACUUAGAUUGUGUAAGAUUAGCCAAUUGAUUAUUUGCUAACUUUCUCACAUUGAUAGGCCAAAAUUGAUUCUUUAUUUUGGUCUCAAACUCCUUUCAAUCAAAAAAUCUUUCUUAAAUUCUAUAGCUUUGAACUCAAUAUGACCACCAAAUGGCUACUAUACCUUUCAAAUAAUUCAAGGCAUAUAUGAUUUCUUUGUUGGUAUUUACCCUAGAUAAUUAGAAGUAUUGUCAUAUGCUGAAGAACCAUUGGUAUACAUCUUCUUGCCUUAAGAUCCCUAAGUAUGUAUCGAGCUUGUUCAAUUUUAGCCUAAUAGAUAUCAACUCUCUUAUUUUAUAAGCUUCUAUUUAUCCUUACAAAAUAGCAAUUUAGUCUAUGAGUUGUUGUAUCUAAGAUUCUAUUUGGAAUUGCUUCAUUAUAUCUCUUGUGUUGCAAUUUCCUUCCUAAACUUUAUAAUUGUAAUGUCUUUUCUUCUUCUAGUUGACUUCUUAAAGUAAAUCAUUGUAGCUCCAAAAUAGUACCUAAUGUGAUCACAACAAUUUACUUCUACUUAAAUGGUAUCAGGAUAGAGAGAAUUUGCCUCAAGAAAGUGCUGGACUUUUGAGUGCCACUAAAUGCUCAAUCAAGUCUAAGAUAUAAGUUUAUAUAUAAGUCUACAAUGAUUUACUUUAAGUCUUAGAGAAACCUUAAUCCCUAAUAAGGCCUCGGGCAGCCUCUUAGAAGUCCAUUGGGCAUUGCCUUCGACUAAUAGGAAUGAAGAUUUCCAUUCCUUGCCUUCAUCCAACCAUGUCUUGCUUUCAUCCCUCUCAAUAAGCCUCCUAAUAGUUUAGGCUUUCAUCUUUAGACUCCAAUCUUCCCUUAAGUUUUAUACUAAAUAUCUAAAUCCUACAUAUUAUAAACACUAUAAUCAAAAUAGAUAAAUUCCCAAAUAAAUUUUCCUAUAUCAAUUCUCUUUAAAUUUAUUUACUAAUCACUCUAAUCUACAUCAAGACUUAUAAACAUAUUAUAUAUCUUAAUUAAUUUUUACAUACUGUAAGCAAUUACAGUACGACAAUGGUGGCUAUCAAUAUACUAGCAAAGAACAGACUAACACUUGCUUUGAUCUUAAUGAAACAAGAUUAGAUUCUCUAAGGUCUAAAACCUUAUCAAUUUCAUAACAACAAAUAUAACAAGAUAUUGAAAAUAUAAUUAUAUAGAUAGUUAGAACCAUGGAAGUUUUUAGAAUUGGAGUUAAAUUAGUGGACCAUGUAAAACCUACCAUAGAACAUUCUAGAAGAAUUUAAGAUGAUUAUUUAGGUGGAGCCUACCAUAGAACCUUUUAAAAAGGCUUAGGAUAGUUAUUUAGGUAGAGCCUACUACCUAGAAAUAUUUUAGAAAGUCCAUGGUGGUAGGACAAGAUAUAAAUAGGAUUAGCUAGGACCUUUUGGGGCAUCUGAUCAGAUAUGGCUUUAGACUCUUUUUUUUAGUAAAGUUUGAUUUUGCAUUUUUUUGUUCAAUUCUAUUAUGUUUUGUUUCCAUCUACUUAGUUGUCUUUCAUAUUCUAUUCUGUGUAGUUCCAUUCAAUUUUAUUCUUAUUUGUUUUGUCCUAUUUUUUUCUAUUUUGUGAUGAAAUUUUAUGUUAUUUUGGAAUAGAAGGAUCUUAGAUUUUUGAGAUAGUCUGGUCCUGUUUCAUUUGUAUCAGAGUGAAUGUUAGACUGUUUAUUUUUGGUAGCAAGUCAAUAGACAUCAUCUAGUCCAAGGUCAAUUAUUGUGGUCACACUCGAUAUUGUGUUAAGGCUAUUACAAGCUACUCUAAAAAAGUCAAUGAAGAGGUGAAAAUAUAUUACAAUAGUGGAGUAGCAAAGAAAUUACAGUAUGGGAGAUAUGGCAGAGUAAUCCUAGAUAGAGGCUCAAAUACAACAUUUCUUAGGCUAUACAGCUACUUUACAAGGACAAAUAAAAACCUCAAGGAUAAGAGAAUCAACAUCUACUACGUUGAAAUUGAAUAAGCCGAGUACAUACUCUAGAACUUUAAAACAAAAAGAUGUAUGUCAAUGGCUCUUCAACAUGCAACAAUACCUCCAACUAUUCAGAGCUAAUACCACUAAAAGAAUUAUAUAUGUAGCCAGCUAUUUAAGGGAUGUAGUAGCCAUUUGGUGGCAAUGUCGAGUUCAAAGCUAUGGAACUAAAGGUAAAUUUUGUGAUUGGGAGGAAUUUAAGAUUGAAUUUAGGAAUCAAUUUUGGCCCAUCAAUGCAAAAAAGAUAGCAUGCAAUUAGUUGACAAAUCUUAUACAAGUUAGGUCGAUGCAAGAUUAUGUCUCUUGAUUCAAGUCCCUAUGUCUCCAAAUUGGUAAUGUUUUAGAGGCAUAGAUGAUGGAUCAAUUCCUACGAGGUUUGAAACUUGGAGUCCAAUAAGAAGUGGAGCUAAAGAAUCUACAAAUAUUUGAAGAGGCGAUUCAAAUUGCAAAGAUAGUGAAUUCUAAAGAUUUUAGAAAUUAUGGAGUACAACUUAUAGCACAUAGUCCUAUCCCGCUAUCUAAUAUUAUGGCACAACAACCAAUGCCAAUAGAGAUUGAUACCUUAUAAGAAUCAUCGAUACUACAAAGACAACAAAUAUUGGUGCAAAACAAAUUAUACUUUUAUUGUUGGUAGUCAGGCCAUUAGAUAAGAGGUUGUCCAAAAUAUCAAAGUACAAGUAGCAACAAGGCAAGACAAGUUCAUAGUCUCAAAAGUCACUAAGCCAAUAAUGAGUCAGUAAAGAAAAUAGAACUUUCUAAUAAAGGCGUCAGAGGCCAAUACUGGAAGUAGCUACUGUCUCUCAAAAACAAAUGGCAUAGCCUUGGAAAACUAUAAAGCAAGUUGAUUGGUGUAUCUAAUGGGACUAUUAAGAGGACAACCAUGUAGAGUACUUAUAGAUUGUAGUUCUACAAAAAAUUACAUCUCAAUUGAAAUUGCUAAUCGACUUCGAACUAAAGAAAUCAAAGAAUGAAGUAUAUACCUUGUGAAUGUUCAAGAGAACAUCUUGAGUGAGACAUGUGAAGAAGAAACCUUAAGAUUCAUAGAGAACUAUAUCUUAAGAGAAAAAUUGAAGGUGACAAAAUUAAAGUAUGAUAUUAUCUUUCAUAUAUCAUGGCUAGAGAUAGAAAAUAAGAAAGUUGAUUGAGUAGCAAGGACAAUCUCUUUUAAAGAUAGAGGAAGCAAUCUAACUCUUUGCACCUCUACAUCAAAUUAAGAUGAAAGACAAACUACAAUCAAAGACAUACUUGUAGGAACAACAUUUAUAAAGAAGCAAUUACAGCAUGAGCAAUCAGUAUAUAUGGUGGUUCUAAAUCUUGCAUCAAUGGUAGAAAAGAUAGCCAAAUGGAUAGAAGAGGCAGAACAACUCGUAUGAAAAUAUCAAGAUGUCUUUUCAAUCGACCUAUCUAAUGGUGUACAUCUUGAUUGAGGUGCCCCUUUUUAAAUAGAACUAUUGUCUAGAGCCAAACCAACAAAUCAACUAAUUUAUUGCCCAGCACCAAAAGAAUUUAAAGAGUUGUGAAAAGACAUUAGAAAAAUUCUUGGAGAAAGACCUCAUUUGAGAAAGUACAACACCAUAGGGAGCACCAAUACUUUAUGCACCUAAGAAAGAUGGUAGACAUUGCCUUUGCAUCGACUAUCGAUGUCUCAAUAAGCAAACUAUUAAAAAUGCAUAUCCACUUCCAUACGUGGAUGUUUUUUUUUAUCAACUUUGAGAUGCGACCUUCUUUAGUAAAUGGGAUCUUUAAAGCGGCUAUUGGCAAACACCUAUUAGAAGAGAAGAUAUAAAAAAUAUGAUAUUUUCUAUGCACUAUAGACAUUUCAAAUGGCUAAUUUUAUCCUUUGGUCUCACUAAUGCUCCAACUUCUUUCAUCGGUUACAUAAACAAAUUCAUUUGAGACCUUUUGGAUAAGUAUGUAGUUGUCUUUAUUGAUGAUAUCCUUGUAUAUAGUAAAAUCCUUUAAAAGCAUGAGGAACACCUAUGAAAGGUGCUAUGCUAGUUAUAAGUUAGUCACUUCUAUUAUAAGCAAUAAAAAUGUAAACUUUGGAAGUCAAAAGUCAUAUUUUUGAAGCAUGUGGUGUCUUUUAAAGGCAUACAUAUGGAAUAAGAUAAGGUAAAAGGAAUGGAUGAUUGGCCAACCCCUACACAUGCUUCUAAAAUUUGUUCAUUUUUGAGGCCUUGCAAGUACUAUCGCCAUUUUGUUUGGCGAUUAAUUCACAUUACUACCUCAUUAUUAAACUUAUUGGAGAUAGGUGCGUCAUUUGAAUGGAAAUUAGAGUAGCAAAAUAUCUUUGAUAAAUUGAAGGAGAUACUCAUUACAACUCUAAUAUUGUAAUUAUAUGAUCCUAAUCUCUCUUAUACGCUUUAUAUUGAUGCUUUUGACUUUGCUAUUGGAACGGUCCUUCAACAAGACUUUGAUAGGGGCCUUUAACCUAUGGCAUAUCAAUCAUGCAAGCUGAGAAGGAUAGAGCAUAAUUACUGAGCAUGUGAUGUAGAGCAAUUAGCCAUUAUAAAUGCCACAAAGGUGUAGUGACACUAUCUAUUGGAAAAGCCAAUGAUUGUUCAAACUGACCAUCGACCUUUGCUACAUGAUUUGUAUCUCAAAAAUAUGAAAUUGUGGCAUCAUCAUUGGAAAGAACAAUUAUAGCUUUUUGAUAUCCAGCUUGAGUACAAGCAAGGGCAACAACAUAUUGUACCCAAUAGUUUAUCACAGAGACCAAACUUGAAAGACAAAUUGAAAGACAAGGUAAAAGUUGCUACCAUUAGUAGUAUUAUUUUAGAUCUAACUAAAGACACAAAGUAGAAAGAGGCUAUACAAUGAGAUAUUUAUUUCAAGAUGGUUAGCAAUCGAUUUACAAUAUGAAGUAAAAAAUUAAUGCUCAAUUUACUUGUUCCUCAAACAUUGAAUCAAGCAAUUGACUUUGCUGUGAAGUGCGACAAUCGUCUUUUAGAAUUUUAAUCUAAGAACCGUACAAGUAGAUCUUAACAUUACUAUAAUUCAAUGGCAAUACCAACAUCUCUUCAAUACAUAUAUUUGGAAGUAAAGGAUAUGCAAAUUGAUGCAGUACGUUUCAAAUCUCUUAUUGAGCAAAAAAAGACUCGAAGUUGUCAGGAAGGAUUAUGCUUAUAUUGUGGAGAACCUAAACACAUUUCUCAACAUUGCCCAAAAAAAGAAUGCAACCAUAAAAUGACGAGUACGGCGAUCAAAGAAGAUAUCAUAUCUGAAAACAAAUUUAUCCAGCUAUAAUAGGGACAGUGCAGCUGAAACCUUGUACAACAUCUAGUGAAGAUCCUAUUCUCUCCUCAGAACCUUUUCCAUGUUUUACGAUAAAUGUUAUUCUAGGACCUAAACAUCACAAAGCCUGUGCCUUACUAGAUUCAGGAGUCUCAGCAUGUUUUUUAGAUGAAGAAUUUGCUAAAAGUCAUAGCAUACUUUUAGUGAAGAAAACUAAACCUGUUCAUGUAGAAGUCAUAGAUGGUCAUCCGUUGUCUUCAAAAGAUGUUACUCAUGAAAUCCUUCCUAUAGAAAUAGUAACUAAUGAUCAUAGUAGCUUUGUAAUAUUUAAUAUCAUUAUAUCUCCCUCUAAUCCAAUCAUUUUAGGUUUAUCAUGGCUAGAAAAAUAUAAUCCUAAAAUAAAUUAGACUUCUUAUAGUCUUGACUUUAUACGCCAUUCCAAAUCUCCAGUGGGAGCUCUAAUUUUAUUUGUGAAGAAAAAAGAUGAAUCAUUGCGGAUGUAUGUCGAUUAUCAAGGAUUCAACAAAAUCACCAUCAAAAACAAGUAUCUACUACCUUUGAUAGUUAGACUCUUUGAUUAAUUGAAUCAAGUUAAGAUCUAUAUAAAAAUGUAUCUAUGACAAGCAUACAAUGUAGUAUGCAUCAAAAAAGGAGAUGAAUGGAAGACUGUGUUUUGAAUAAGGUAUGGAAAUUUUGAAUACAACGUCAUGCCUAUUGGACUUACAAAUCCACCAGCAGCAUUCCAACAUCUAAUGAAUGAUGUCUUUCGAGAGUUUUUAGAUGAUUUUGUUGUCUGUUACCUAGAUGACAUCUUAAUCUAUUCUAAAAACGCAUAAGAACAUGAACUUCAUAUUUGUCAUGUGUUACAAAAAUUAAAAGAUGCGAGACUCUAUACCAAGACAAAAAAAGUGUAUAUUUCAUGCUACUCAAGUCGACUUCUUAAGAUACAUCAUUUCAAAUGAUGAACUUAUGAUGGAUCCUAAGAAAGUUCAAACUAUUAUGGAUAAGAAGAUCUCAAAAAUGAUAAGAGAUGUCUAAUGCUUUUUAGGAUUUGCCAACUACUAUCGGAUCUUCAUCAAAGACUUCUCUCAAGUUGCAGCUCCACUUACACAUUUGACUUGUAAAGAUAAACCUCAAUGGAAUCAAAAAGCGGAAGUAGCAUUUGAAGCUUUGAAGAUAGCCUUUGUUUCUGCACUAAUCUUGUAUUAUAUUGAUUUUUUUAAGCCAUUUUUUUAUCAAAAAAAAUGCAUCAGACUUUGCUUUGGAUGUCGUAUUAUUAUAAAUGGAAAUAGAUGAUAAACUUCAUCCAAUAGCUUUUCAUUCCAGAAAAUUUUUAAUAGUCGAGAUCAACUACGAGAUCCAUGACAAAGAAUUUUUUGCAAUCAUGGAUUCAUUUUAAGAAUGGCACCAUUAUCUAGAAGGUGCUUCUAACCUAGUCACCGUAUAUAUAGAUCACAAGAAUCUUAAAUAUUUUAUAUCAGCACAUGUUUUGAAUCAUCGCCAAGCUCGUUGAAAUAUGCCUUUGUCAAGAUUUGAAUUCAAGAUCAUUUAUCAAUCAAGAAACAAUAAGGUUUGUCAAAUGUACUUUCUAGAUAAUCUAACCUUCCACCAAAGAAAAGAGAUGUUGUUUUUGAUAAGCAAUGGACAAUUCUCUUGAAGCCAGAGCAUCUUCAUCUUUGAGCAAUGAAAUCAACAUUAAUUGUUGAUUCAACUUUCAUUAAGCAAGUUCAAUCAAGUCUUCUUAUCCUUUUAUUUGUGAUAUUAAGAGAAAUCCUUCAAAGUCUCAUGAUACUUCCAAGUUUGAAUUCAAGAACAAUCUAUUAUAUUUCCAAGGACGCCUAUAUGUUCCAAAAGGUAAAGCUUGAUUACGUAUUCUUCAAGCUCGUCAUGAUUUUCGAGCGAUAUGACAUUUUGGAUACAAUCAAACUUUGGAACUAGUAUCCAGGGACUUUUGGUAGCCACAAAUGUUUAAAGUAAUCAAAGAUUUUAUAAAAUCUUGUGAUAUUUGCUCAAGAUCAAAAACUCCUCCUUUUUGACCUUGCGAACUUCUUCAGCCAUUAUUCAUUCCAAAACAACCAUGGUCUUUUGUUUCUAUGGAUUUCAUCAUAGAUCUUCUAAUCUUAGGUUCUUAUGACUCUAUAUUCGUGAUAGUAGAUCAUUUUACCAAGAUGGCACAUUUUAUACCAUGUACAAAAUCCAUCAUAAGUAAAGAAACAGCUAAGCUCUUUCUUGAUAAUAUCUAUCACUAUCAUGGAUUAUCCAAGGAUAUUAUAUCAGAUAGAGGAACUCAGUUUGUAUCAAGAUUUUGGUGGACUCUUUUCAAGAUUCUAAAAGUAGAUAUAAAACUAUCUUUGACAUUCCAUCCUCAAACUCAUGUACAAACAGAGUGUAUUAAUCAAGUUUUGGAGUUGUAUUUAAGAUGUACCAUCAACUACCAACAAGAUGAUUAGACAACUCUUUUGCCAUUGGCAAAGUUUAUUUACAAUAACACAAUACAUUCUUCUACAAAACAAACACCUUUCUUUGCCAAUUAUGGUUAUCAUCCACGAUUUGAUACUUUUAACUUUUUAAAAGUUGAUAAUCCUUUGGCAAAAGAUUUGGCAAUUCAUUUUUUAGAGCUACAUACAACAAUGAAGGCACAAUUAAAAGAAGCUCGAGAACAACAAAAGGUCAAUGCAAAUGUCUAUCAAAAGGAACAACUAUCAUUCUACAUGGGUGACAAGGUAUGGUUACUUCGUCACAAUAUCAAGACCACUCGUUGUUGUAACAAAUUGGACUAUCAAAGGCUUAGACUAUUUUUUAUUUCUGCACAAAUCAAUCCAAUUGCAUAUUGUUUACACCUAUCGGAGUGAAUGAAAAUCCAUCCAAUAUUCCAUGUAUCUCUUCUUGAACCAUUUAAAGAAAUGGACAUGGCAUGAAGAAGACAAGCCCCACCUUUUGCUAUAGAAAUGGACAAUAAUAAAGAGUUCAAAGUGGAAGAAGUCUUAGAUUUAAGGUGGCACCAAAAUAAAUUAGAAUAUCUUGUCCAUUGGCAUAGAUAUGAUAUUAGUAAAUGCACAUAGGAGCCAGUAAAGAAUCUUGCAAAUGCAACAAAGGUGGUGGAGGCUUUUUAUUGAUGACAUCCAUCAAAAUCAAGAUGAAAACCUUCCUUAUAAAAAAAAACAAGAUCUAGGCAAGAUAACAUUCUACUUUCAAUCCUUGUUUGUAGCUUCUUUGUAGUUAUGACGCUGAGGAGAUGGAGAACCAACAACUAGUAGAUUUGAUUUAAGAACCUUCGUUUGUUGACCUACCGGACGAGACAUUAUGAUUGUCACAACCUUGAAUAUGAUGCAAUCGAGAUGAAGAUCUUGAAGAAUGACAAAUUCUUCCUCCAAUUGAUGGCGAGAUACAACGCGUUUGGUAUUACGACUUUGAAAGGGACUUCCGAUGUUUGGUGAUAUUACUAGAGAUAGGAACAACUCUUGAUGGUAUUCCAAAUGUUCGAAGGAAGUUAUCAAGGCCUCAACAACAAUGAAAUAACUAGGUGGUCUUCUCGCCAUAGUAUGGGACACCAUCGAUGGUUGAGAGGCCCUUUCAAUCAUCUUCAAAGAGAACAAAGAUCAGAGUAUAUGGCAAAUACAAUUUGUUGCACCAUAGAUUUCUUCAACAUAUGUCACGGACAUACUCAUGUAAGCUAGUAAUUACAUAUACAAAAAGGUAGAAGUAAGUAAAAGUAUGUAAAAGUAAGUUAAUUCUAUAGUAUUUAAUAUAGAAGCUUCCUAGAAACUUCCUAGAUGCUGCUUUGACUUCAUAGGUAUCUUUAAUUGACUUUUUGGAUUAGAAACGUGGUCAACAAGUUCGCCAUGUGCCACACAUGUUGUUAGCUUGAAGAUCAAGCUAACUAUAUGGCCCACACGUAGAAAAACUUGCCUUGUAAGUCAAGGCAAGUGUCCUAUAAAGUCAAUACAUAUUAGAGGUCCUAUAGAACGUCCUCACGUAGUCCCUAAUUAGAUAGUAUAUGUAGAGACAAGAAUGAAGCCUUCUUCACUCUUGUCAACUCCUUUCUUACUUCUAGUCUAGUUUCAAGGGUCUCUAGUUUUCUGGUCUUUUGGCAAUAGCCAUUCUAGUUUCUCUUUCAAUAUACAUACUUAUUUAUUUAUAUUUUGUUACCUUUCUUUGAGUGAAGGCUCACUUGUCUGGAUUGUUUUUUCAUCGAGUUCUUUUCCUUGAUAGAUUGACAAGAAUACAUCUAUAAUAUCAGAGCUUUGUCUAAUCUUGAUUAAGAGUGGAUUACCCCUUUUUCUUGAUAAGAUAUAAGCAUAUUAGAAGUUACGGAUUACCCUCUUCUAAACUGAUAUUGUACUUAGUAUUUUCCUUGAUCUCAAGUCCUCUUUUCUAUCUGUCUUGAGUGAUAUUAGACAUCUUCUCUUUUCUAAGUAUUAUCAUGGCAGAACUUGUUGAAAUGAAGAGUGCAAUGGCACAAAUGCAAGAGCAAUUGAGGGAGUUAAUGCUUGUGAUUCAUCAACUCAAUUUACCACCACAAGGAGCAAGAAGAUUGGCAAGAAGUAAAGAUAUAGAAAUGGUUGAAGCUGCUUCAACAUCUGCACCAAACCAUGUCCUUUCUCCUAUGGUGGAAUGCCCUUUCAGUAUUAGACAACCAAGAAUUGCCCUACACGAGAAGUUUGAUGGCACAAGAUCCAAGUUUCGAGGAUUUAUCAAUCAAGCAAAACUUGUGAUUGAACUUCAACCCCAAAGCUACCCAACUCCAGGAUUGCAAGUUAGAUUCAUUGGUACGCUUCUUUCAGGUUCAGCACUAUUGUGGUUUUCAUCUUUUCUUGAACGACGAGAUCCAAUAUUGGAUAAUCUAAAGGCUUUUUUGGCAGAGUUUUGAUCCAUGUAUGGAAAACAUGAUACAAUUCGUGUUGCAACCAAUAAGAUCCAUAUUUUACAACAAGACAAUCGAUCAAUAACGUUAUAUCUUUCACAAUUUUGACAACUUGUAAUUGAUAUCAAGUGGGAUGAUACUACACUUAUUAGCCAAUUUCUCUAUGGAUUACAAUAUGAGGUAAAAAAAUUACUGCACUACUUAUCUGAUCCUCAAACAUUGAGUCACGCAAUUGACUUUGCUCUGAAGUGCGACAAUCACCUUUUUGAAUUUCGAUCUGAGAACCGUACAAGUGGACCUCAACGUUACUAUAAUUCAAUAGCAACACCAACACCUCUUCAACACAUACAUUCGGAAGUAGAGGAUAUGCAAAUUGAUGUAGUACGUUUCAAACCUCUUAUUGAGCAAGAAAAGACUAGUCGUCGUCAAGAAGGAUUAUAUUUAUAUUGUGGAGAAUCAAAGCACAGUGCUCAACAUUGUCCAAAGAAAUGAUGCAAUCACAAAAUGAGGAGUAUGGCUCUGAAAGAAGAAAAUAUGUCAAAAAAUGAGUUUGUCCAGCUACAAUAGAGACCGUGCGGCUGGAACCUUGCACAACAUCUAGUAAAAGUCCUAUUCUCUCCUUAGAGCCCUCUCCUUAUUUUAUAUUAAAUAUUAUUUUAGGACCUAAAUAUUACAAAUUCUCUGCCUUGUUAGAUUCGGAAACCUCAGCGUAUUUUUUAGAUGAAGAAUUUACUAAAAGACAUAGCAUAUCUUUAGUAAAGAAAACUAAACCUGUUCAUGUAGAAGUCAUAGAUGGUCGUCCAUUGUCUUCUGGAGAUAUUACUCAUGAAACCCUUCCUAUAAAAGUAAUAAUCAAUGGUCAUAAUAGUUUUGUAGUAUUUAAUAUCAUUAGAUCUACCUCUAAUCCAAUCAUUUUAGGUUUAUUGUGGUUAGAAAAAUACAACCCUCAAAUAGAUUGGAUUUCCUGAACUUUUACUUUCUCUAAAAGUAUAACUAACAGUGCAGUUAAUCAAGUAGAGAGUUAUAAGUCCAGUUAAAUUAAAUCCAUAUUUAUAGGUAAAAAAGCUUUCUUGCAUGUUGCUGUGAAAGAAUCACCAUAUAUUAUUUAUGCCACACUUGUUCCUACAGGUGAAAAGACUUCAAGUUGCAUUCGAAGCCAAUAUCAAGAAUUUCAAGAUGUAUUUGAAAAAAAGAAUGCGGAUACACUCCCGGAACAUCGUCCCUAUAAUUGCUCAAUUGACCUUCAAGAAAGAAUACAACUGCCAUUCGGACCAAUCUACAGUUUAUCACAAAAUGAGUUGAUUGAACUUAAGGAAUAUAUUGAAGAAAAUCUAGCCAAGAAUUUCAUACGCCAUUCUAAAUCUCUGUCAAGAGCUCCAAUUCUAUUUGUAAAGAAAAAAGAUGGAUCAUUGUGGAUGUGUGUUGAUUAUCGAAGACUCAACAAGAUUACCAUCAAGAACAGGUAUCCACUACCUUUAAUAUUUGGACUUCUUAAUCAGCUGAAUCAAGCUAAGAUCUAUACAAAAAUAGAUCUCCAUGGAGCAUACAAUCUAGUACGCAUCAAAGAAGGAGAUAAAUGGAAGACUUCGUUUCGAACUACAUAUGGACAUUUUGAAUACAACAUCAUGCCUUUUGGACUUACAAAUGCACUAGCAGCUUUUCAACAUCUAAUGAAUGAUGUUUUUUGAGAGUUUUUGGACGAUUUUGUGGUCUGUUAUCUAGACGAUAUCUUGAUCUAUUUUAAAAAUCCAGGAGAACAUGAACUUCAUGUUCGUCUUGGUUUACAAAAAUUAAGAGAUGCAUGACUCUAUGCCAAGAUAGAAAAGUGUGUAUUCCACACUACUCAAGUUAAUUUCAUAGGUUAAAUCAUUUCAAAUGAUGGACUUAUGAUGGAUCCUAAGAAAGUUCAAACUAUUGUAGAUUGGAAGAUCUCAAAAACGAUAAGAGAUGUCCAAUGUUUUUUGAGAUUUACCAAUUACUAUCAGAUCUUCAUCAAAGACUUCUCUGAAGUUGCAGCUCCACUUAUACGUUUGACUUGUAAAGACAAACUCCAAUGGAAUCAAGAAGCGGAAGUUGCUUUUGAAUCUUUGAAGACAGUGUUUGUUUCUGCACCAAUCUUGUAUCGUGUUGAUUUUUCCAAAGCAUUCUUUACGGAAACAGAUGCAUCAGACUUUGCUCUAGGUGCGAUUUUGUCACAAACGGGAACAUAUGACAAACUUCAUACAAUCGCCUUUCAUUCAAGAAAAUUCUCAGCAGCAGAAAUCAAUUAUGAGAUCCAUGAAAAAGAACUUCUUGUAAUUGUGGAUUCUUUUCAAGAAUGGUUUCAUUAUAUAAAAGGCGCUUCUAGUCCAAUCACCAUAUAUACGGAUCACAAGAACCUCGAGUAUUUCAUGUCAACAUGCAUAUUAAAUCAUCGUCAAGCUUGUUGGAGCAUGUCUUUAUUAAGAUUCAAGUUCAUCAUCACUUAUCGGCCAGAAAAACAACAAGGUUUAUUCAAUGCCUUAUCUAGACGUUCUUUUCUUGUACCAAAAGAAGGAGAUGCAACUUUUGAGCAACAAAGAAUGGUUUUCUUGAAGCCGGAGGAAUUUCAUUUUUGAACAAUAAAAUCAACAUUGAUUGUUGAUUUAACUUUUAUCAAGCAAGUUCAGUUAAGUAUGUCUUCAGACCCUCUUGUUCAUGAUAUCAAGAAUAAUUCUUCUAAAUCUCAUAAUCCCUCUAAAUUCGAGUUCAAAAAUAACCUAUUCUAUUUUGAAGGAUGCUUAUAUGUUCUAAAAGGAGAAGCAUGUUUACGUAUUCUUUAACUCGUCACGACUUCCUAGCAACAAGACAUUUUGGAUACAAUAAGACUUUGGAGCUAAUAUUUAGGGAUUUUUGGCGGCCUCAAAUGUAGAAGGCAGUCAAAGAUUUUGUACAAUCAUGUGAUGUUUGCUCAAGAUCAAAAACUCCUCGUCAUCGACCUUUUAGACUUCUUCAGCCAUUAUCCAUUCUAGAAACAACCAUGGUCUUUUGUUUAUAUGGACUUCAUCAUAGAUCUUCCAAUCUCAGAUUCUUAUGAUUCUAUAUUUGUGAUAGUAGAUCGUUUUACCAAGAUGGUACAUUUUGUACCAUGUACAAAAUCUAUCACAGGUAAAGAAACAGCUAAGCUCUUUCUUGACAAUAUCUAUCGCUAUCAUGGAUUAUCCAAGGAUAUUAUAUCAGAUAGGAGAACUCAAUUUGUAUCAAGAUUUUGGCGGACUCUUUUCAAGAUCCUAAAAGUAGAUAUAAAACUAUCUUCGACAUUCCAUCCUCAAACUGAUGGACAAACGGAGCAUGAUAAUCAAGUUUUGGAGCAAUAUUGAAGAUGUACCAUUAACUACCAACAAGAUGAUUUGACAACUCUUUUGGCAUUGGCAGAGUUUGCUUACAAUAACACGGUAUAUUCUUCUACACAAUAAACACCUUUCUUUGCUAAUUGUGGUUAUUAUCCACGACUUGAUACUUUUGACUUUUCAAAAGUUGAUAAUCCUGCUGCAAAAGAUUUAGCAAUUCAUUUAUCAGAGUUACAUGCAACGAUGAAGGCGUAGUUAAAAGAGGCUCAAGAAUAACAAAAGAUCAAUGCGGAUGUGUAUCGAAAGAAAUAACCACCAUUCUUCUUGGGUGAUAAGCUAUGGUUACUUUAUCGCAAUAUCAAGACCACUCAUCCUUGUGACAAGUUGGACUAUCGAAGGUUGGGACCAUUUUCUAUUUCUACACAAAUCAAUCUAAUUGCAUAUCGUUUACAUCUACCAAAGUCAAUGAAAAUCCAUCUAGUAUUCCACGUGUCUCUUCUUGAACCAUACAAGAUAAUGGACAUACCAAGAAGACGACAAGGUCCACCUCCUCCUAUAGGAGUGAACAAUAAUGAAGAGUUUAAAGUAGAAGAAGUCUUAGAUUCAAGGCGACGCCAAAAUAAAUUAGAAUAUCUUGUCCAUCGACGUGGAUAUGGUAUUAGUGAUCAUACAUGGGAGCCAAUAAAGAAUCUUACAAAUGCAACAAAGGCGGUGAAGGCUUUUCAUCGACAACAGCUAUCAAAAUCAAGCUGAAAACCUUCUUUAUAUAAGAAACAACAUCUAGGCAAGACAACAUUCUACUUUCAAUCCUUCUUCGUAGCUUCUUUGUAGUUGUGACGUUCAAGAGAUGGAGAACCAACAACCUGUGGAUUUGACUCAAGAGCCUUCAUUUGCUGACCUACCGGAUGAGACGUUACGAUUGUCACAACCUUCAAGACGACGCAAUCGAGAUGAAGAUCUUCAAGAACGACAUAUUUUUCCUCAAAUAGAUAGCGAGAUACAAUGCAUUUGGUAUCACGAUUUGGAAAGGGACUCCCGAUGUUUGGUGAUUUUGCUAGAGGUAGGAACAACUCCUGAUGGGAUUACAAAUAUUCUAUUUGAAGAAAGUUAUGAAGGCCUCAACAAUAAUCAAAUAAGUGGGUGGUCUUCCCACCCUAGUAUGGAACACUAUCAAUGGUUGAGAGUCCCUAUCAAUCAUCUUCGAAGAAUACAAAGAUCAGAGUAUGUGGCGAAUAUAAUUCGUCGCAUCAUAGAUUUCCUCAACAUAUGAUGACCGCUCUUCAUGGAACUCGUUCGUAAAAGGGGGGGUAAUAUCAUGGACAUAUUCAUGUAAGCUAGUAAUUACAUAUAUAAAUAAGUAGAAGUAAGUAAAAGUAUGUAAAAGUAAGUUAAUUCUAUAGUAUUUAAUAUAAAAGCUUCCUAGAAGCUUCAUAGACGCUGCUUUGACUUCAUAGGUGUCUUUAAUUGAUUUUUUGGAUUAGAAACGUGGUCAACAAGUUGGCCAUGUGCCACACAUGUUGUUAGUUUGAAGAUCAAGCUAACUAUGUAGCCCACACAUAGAAAAACUUGCCUUGUAAGUCAAGGCAUGUGUCCUACAAAGUCAACACAUAUUGGAGGUCCUAUAGAAUGUCCCCACAUAGCCCCUAGUUAGAUAGUAUAUGUAGAGACAAGAGUGAAGCCUUCUUGACUCUUGUCAACUCCUUUCUUACUUCUAGUCUAGUUUCAAGGGUCUCUAGUUUUCUUGUCUUUUGGCAAUAGCCAUUCUACUUUCUCUUUCAAUAUACAUACAUAUUUAUUUAUAUUUUGUUACCUUUCUUUGAGUGAAGGCUCACUUGUCUAGAUUGUUUUUUCAUUGAGUUCUUGUCUUUGACAACAUAUGAUGACCGUCCCCAUAGAACUUGUCCUUAGAAGGGCGGAGGGGAGUUAUGUCAUGGAUAUAGAUAUGUAAGCCAGUAAUUACAUGUGUAAAUAGAUAGAAGUUAAAGUAGGUAAAAGUAAAUUAAUUCUAAAAUAUUUGUUAUGGAAGCUUCUUAGAAGCUUUAUAGAGGUUGAGUUGACUUUAGAGGUGUCUUUAAUUGACUUUUGGAUUAGAAACGUAGUCAAUAAGUUGACUAUGUGCCACACAUGUUGUUAGCUUGGAGACCAAGCUAACUAUGUGGCCUACACAUAGAAAAACUUGCCUUGUAAGUCAAGGCAUGUGUCCUACAAAGUCAACACAUAUUAGAGGUCCUAUAGAACAUCGCCAGGUAGCCCCUAGUUAGAUAGUAUAUAUAGAGACAAGAGUAAAGCCCUCUUCACUCUUGUCAACUCCUUUCUUGCUUCUAGUCUAGUUUCAAGGGUCUUUAGUUUUCUUGUCUUUUGGCAAUAAUCAUUUCAGUUUUUUUUUUCUUAAUAUAUAUAUUGAGUUAUUUCUAUUUAAUCAUCUUUCUUUGAGAGAAGUCUGACUUGUUUAUUUUUCUUUAUGAAGUUCUUCUUCUUAAUAGUUUUUGAGAUAGUUUGGUCAUGUUUUUACAAGAAUCUCUACUUAAUGUAAGACCAAUCACACCAAAACAAAAUUGAAAGUAACUAAAGAAAAUAGAACAUAAAAGUUAGGACUAAGUUAAAAAAAAUAUAUAACCAAAUAAAAUCAAAUAGAGUAGAGCAAGAAAAAACAACCAAAUUUUGAUAUUAAAAAAAAAAAAAAAAAAAAAAAAAAAAAAAAAAAAAAAAUCUAAAGCCAUACUUAAUCAAAUCUCCAAAUAACCUUAAUUAGUUUGAUUUAUAUUUGAUUCAACUAUUAUGGAACUUUUUAGAAUAUCUCUAAUGGUAGGUUCCACUAAAAUAACCACCUUUUAUAAGACUCUAGAAGUGGAGCCCACUAAAAUAACCACCUUAAAUCUUUUUAGAAGGUUUUAUAGUAGAUCCCACAUGAACCACCAUUCUAACCUCAAUUCUUAAAACUUCUCAAAAAUGAUUCCAACUACAUAACUUUAUGUACAAAUAAUAUAAAUAUCCUAUUCAUGCCCUAUUAUAAUUUUAGUAGUAUAAUUUUGAUAUUAAAAUAAAUGUUGUUAAUAUCAAAUUAUAGUUUUGAAGGAUGAUUAUAAUAAAACUUAUUAUUUGAAGCUAAGUUUUUUUUUAAAAUUAUUUACAACUUAAUUUUUUUAAAUAAAUAUAAAAUCAAAGAAUAUAUUCUAAAUUUUAUUUUAAAUAAUUUAAGUAAAAAAUUUAUCUAUAUAUAUAUAUUUAGCUAGAUCCUAUUAUAUAUAUUUUUUAUAUAAUUUUUUUUAUUAGAAUGGCUAUACUAAAAUCCUUGCAUUGAAUCCUAUUAUAGCUAUAUUUAUAAUAUAUAUCUUCUUACUAAAUAACAAAGUAUAAGAACUUUGUUUGUUCUUUUUUCAAAAAUAUUUGCAAUAAGAAUCCUUUUAUAUUAAUGUAUAUUUUGACUAAAUUUUAAUAUUUUAAAAAUCUUUUUCAUUUCAAUUAGAAUUAUACACUAAUAUUUUAAUUAAAAAAAUUAUUAAAUUACAUAUUCUUGCAUAGAAUUGAGAAAUUUUCUAUUAAAAAUAAUAAGCUUUUUUUAAUCAAAGUAAUAGAUCAAGGUAUAUAAAUAAAAGUAAUAGCUUACAUGAUGCAAUUCUACAAAAUUAUUUCCAAAUUUUUUAAGACGAUGAAGUUAAGUUUAUUCAAAUAUAUAAGGUUAAUUAUUCUAAUAAUUAAGAUUCAAUAAACUUUAUAUUUUAAUAAUAUUUUUGAAAUCAUAUAUAGUAUUAAAUAUUUUAUUGGUAUUUUUUUAUAGAACAAAAAUAUUUUAUUGGUUUUUUUAUAGAAUGAGUAAGUUGAAGGAAUUUAAACUUUUAUAUCUAAUGAUUUUUUAUACUUGAAGUAAUCAUAUAUAGACUCUACUUUUAUAUUUAAUAAACUUAAAAAUUAAUAUUUUAAUCAUAAUUAUUAUUGACAUUAUUUAGGUAGGAAAAUUAAGAUGUCUUGAAGUUGAUACAAAAAUAUCAUAUGAAAAAAAUGAUGGUUAAUAACAAACAUCUUCUUAGUUUUGGUGUCAUUUAAGUUGUUUUUAAGCAAUUCCAAAUUCAACUAUUUAUUUCUUAUUUUUUCAUUUAAUAAAUUUUUAUUGCACAAUUAUUUAAUGUAUUAUUGAACAUGUAAAAUCUAUUUCGACAAAUACAGCCAUUGUCUUUUAUGUAGUCAUUAGAUGUGUAAAUUCAUAUAUAUACUUUAAUUCUAGCAACUGUUUCUAUAAUUUUUUGGAAGUGUAGGCCAUCAAUAUGAGCCAAAAUAGUAAAAUUUAAAUAUUUUAGUAGAAAAAUUGUGUUCAACAUCCGAUUCAAAUUUGUAUUUAUGAAUUUAAAAGUUAGUCCAUACCAUAAUAAAAAAAUAAACUUCAUUUUUGUAACAAGUCUCCAUUAAUGUUUGGUAAGUGAAUUGAACAGGGUUGUAUCAAACACAUGAUUGCAGUCUGUCUUUGCAUAUCAAAGUCAUAACAAACGUGAUUUCUUUUUUUGUGCAUUCUACCAUAUUUUGUCACUACCAAUAGAUGGGAACUAUGAGUUGUGCUUUGCUACUUAAUAUAAUUCAAUAAUAAUUUAUCUGUAAAAAAAUCAAGUAAUUUGGUAUUUUGUUUUUCUACAUCUAUUUUGGUUACUAAAAUAUGCAGUAGCUAACAAAAAGUUAUAAAUUCAAAGCAAAGAAUUUACAAUUUGAAAACUACAUUCCAUAUUAAUGUGGUUUUAAAAAAAAACUGUAAUUUGAUAAGACAAAUAGUUUAAUUUAUAUUUUUAAUACUUUUUAAUUUCAGAUAUAUAUAUAUAUAUAUAUAUAUAUAAUUAAAAUUAUGACAUAAAUUUCCUUGAUAUUUAUAAUGUGUAUUUUUUUCUUUAGAUAAUUUAAUUUUUUCAUAUAUAUAUAUAUAUAUAUUUAUUUAUUUAUUAAAGCUUGACAAUGAUUCAAAGUGGAUCUAUGAAUGAACUCAAUUCCACGUUAUUCUAUUGAAUAUAAUUAAAUAAAAAAACUUUUGAUCCUUUAAGAUUCAAAUAUAUAUAUAUAUAUAUAUAUAUGUUUGUAAAACAAUUUCUCAAAAAAUAGUUAAUUUUUUAAAAUAUUUACAGAUAAAUAUACUAACUCUAGAUGAAUUGACUAUCUGAUACCUGAGAUAUGCAUAAUUUUAUAGUAAUUUGAAAAAAAAUAUAGUAUUUUUAUCUCAAUAAAAUAGUAAACUUUGAAGAGUGAUUUUAUUUUCAUUUUUUAUUUUUUGGUCCCAAUAAAUUUAGGUUAAAUAUUUCAAAUUUAUAAAUUUAUAAUCUUGAAAAAAAAUACUUUUAAAGUUACAAUAAACUUUUGAUAUAUUUUGCUAGGAGAAAUAACCAAAUGAUUAUGUCUUAGUACAUUCAUGUUUAAGCCAUUAAACAAAUAUGAUUUUCAAAAAAUUGUUAAAAGUAAAAGUGAUCUCAUUGUCAUUUUAUUUUUACAAGUUACAGGUUUAAAGUAUGUUGUGUAAGCUUGUGAUGAUUUGCAGCACAAAGUAGUAGAAGAAACUUUCUAUUAAGACUUUUUGUCUACAGUUUCAAAUGAUAUUUUUUGCAUCAAAGCAAUAUAUGAAGAAUGCUUGGUCAAAUUUUACAGUAGCAUUGAAAGUUUUUAGAAAUAAUCAUAAAUUAAUGUUUUUGAUUGCAUGUGCAAUUGAAAUGUAACUUGGUUGAACUUGCACAAAAAAGAUGUGCAAUAUGUGCAAUGUAAACAAAAAUAAGUAAAAAAGCAAGGAACAUCAACAUGACAACAAUUGUAACAUAAAAUAGGAAUAAAAAUAACAGUGGAUGGCAAUUUAUUUCUGAAACCCUAAUAUUUGCAACAAUGAUUCCAUCACAUCCUCCUUGUUUUCUCAUGGACAUACUCUCAAGGCACCAACCCAUGUCCAAACAUGCACUUUAUUUCUUCUUCUUCUUCUUCUUACUUAUAUGUAAGUUUGAAAAUAAUAAACUUCUACCCCAAGUCUUUGUGUAAAGGCCAAUUGGACGACAAUAUUAUUGAUAAUUAUUCUUAUUUUUCAUUCUCCUUAUUCUUUGAUACUUAAUAUUGAGUAACAUUGAAAUAUCUUAAACUACCCGUAGACCUUGUCAAAAGCUGCCCUUGCACAAACCCAAAACUAACUAUUCUUCUUGUAGUUUUAUGUGUUUUUAUGGACAGUUUUGGCCAAGUUGAUGUGUUGGUUCAGGGGUUCAAAGUGCAAUAGCCUUUGAAAUUUUGUAUCAAUUAAACCACUAUGGCUUUUGCAAUGUUUUCUUUUUGAGCACAUUAGAACUUUAUUUCUCUACCAUUUUUAUUAUUAUUAUUAUUAUUAUUGUUGUUGUUUUUUAAUUUCUAGACCCACACUCAUAGACUGAUGGGCUGACCAACUGGCUCCAGGCUGUGGCUUGAAGUGGGCAAGCACAGGGAGAAUCAGAGCCCCAUAUAGAAAUUAGAAUAAUAACAAUAAAUAAUAAGAAUGAGAAAUAAUAAAUAAUGAAAAUGGAUAAGAAUGGGAUCUAUAAUGGUGUGGGGCAGUGUGGGCAUUGGUUGGGGGGGGUCCCCUCUCCUUUUUAUUCAUUUAUUCGUCAAUUUCUUUCUUUCUUUCUUUCUUUCUUUCUUUCUUUCUUUAUCUUUCCAUCUAUUCUUCUGUCUGUGCCUGUCUAAAUGUGUCACCAAUCCCACUUGCAACAUGUGGAACCCCAUUCCAAUAUGAAUGGUUUUUUUAAUAACCAAUCCACUCUCUACCAAACAUUAAGCACUUGUUUAUAAUUGGGCAUGCAAAGCAUUUUCAUUAGGUAUGUGUCAUUGGGUGUUUGUUGUUAGUUAUGACAUAUGAUAUGAUUGGAUGUUUUGUUAUAUUUUUUAAGUCUAGUCUUGAGUGUAGAUUAUUUAUUUAUUUAUUUAAUUUUAUGUUAAAAACUGGAUACUACAGGAUUACUUUUGUUGUUGUAUAUUGACUAGAACAACGAAUGAAAAAAUCAUAAUUUUAGUUAAGAGUUGUAAGUCUGAAUAAAUCGUGUUGUGUAUAUGAUGGGAAUUUUCUUUUCUCUUUUUUCUUUCUUCAUAUGGGCAUGAAUGCUAUCUUUUUGAUAUCGAAUUCCAUAGAAAAUCAAUAUUUACUUAAAGGUAUGUCUUGUCUUCUUUUCUUUCUUUGUUCAUUCAUUCAUUUUAUUUCUAUUUUAUUUUUCCGUUAGAGCAGUUUUGCAUUCACUGCGCUCAUUUACAGAUGAAUUACUAAUUUAUCCUAAUAAAUCUUAAUCACUUCAAAAGAUUGUGAAUCACUUACCUGGCAAUUUUAUUUUAUGUUUCUAUAACAUUUUAAAGUAGGAAAGCAUGUAUCAUGCUUCUUAAAUGUAUAUAGUUUUUGAAAUGUUUUCAGUACGCACCUCAAACAAGAACACCGAAGUAAUUACAUGCACAUGUUUGUAAUUUUGUGUAUACUUUUUCUUAUUAUUAAUAAGAAAAUUACGGAGAAUAUUAAACUCAUUUUUUUUAAUUACAUAUACUAUGUUACAUUCUUAUAAUUUCUCAUAAUAUUUUGCAAUUCAAACUCCAUAUACCAAAUAAAUAAAUAAAAAAAAAUUAUCACCAGAACAUUGUAUCUUUCAUUUUUUAAAAAAAGUACACAUGAAGUAAUUCAAAAUUAACUAAAACGUCUCUGAAAAAGAAAAAAAAACAAAACAGAACAAAAAACACAAAAAUAAAAUCCACCAGUAAGAGUUGCAGCCCUCUAAUCACGGCUCCCACUCACUUUAACUUUCUCGCCCGAACUCACUUUAACUUUCUCACCAUUCCUCCGUACCGCUUUUUUUUAAUAAAAAAUUUCCUGCCCGUUUUCCUUUUGAGAUACUUUUUUCAGAAUAAUACUGCCCGAACUGCUCGAUCAGGUCGCCAUCUAGACUCCACGUCCGCUGAGUCCCUCAGAGUUCUCGGGCAGGAAGUCGAAUACUAGCCGUGCGAUGCAGGAUCGGAAGGCGCAGAGACGGCGUGCGGAAGGGUGCCGCGGCGGGUGAGCUGUAUAAGCAUCGCCAAGGCUAUUAACCCCCGAACCCUUUCUCCCUCUGCUUCGUUCAUCUAUCCCCCUCUCCCUCGUUGUCGCUGCUGCUGCUGCAUCGUCCCCUGGCGGUACGCGCUCUUGUGCUUCCGCCAUCGCUGCAACCUCCACACGCCCUUGCAGCUCGCCGCACAAGGUAAGUCUUCGUCUCUUUUGCGUCUCUGUGAUGGCCGUGCCUGCCAUGUCUUUUUUUAUUUCUUGUUUCCUCUGAAUAUUCUUCCCGGAGGUGUGUGAUGCGCUGUGUUUUAAGGGUUUAGAGAAGAGGUUUAGAUAGCAAGGGAAGAGGUGUGCAUGUGUGCGUGUGUGCUCCAAGGGGGUUUCAGUCAUGGUUUUUCUUGCAAAUCGAGGAGUGUACGUGAAUAUUGUGGGGAUGCUGCGUGCUAAGGUCUGGAAAUUGUGUUUUCUCGGGAAAGACAGUGAGUGUGGACGGUUCGGGGUUUUUCAGUACGACGCCUUACGACGACUCCAGGAGGCGUCCUGGAUCAGUUUAUUCAUACGUGGUUUGUUAGUUUCUGACAUAGGUUUUCUCUUGUGCGCCUUCACUCGGGCGGAAUUACGAGCGCACGUUCUUAGUGAAAAUGAUAGUUCUACCGUCAUAUGGCUGUUAAGUAGAUAGAUCGAAAGUUAAGUGUUGGUUGAAUCUGACAAUGAGAUCAAGGACUCUGCAUUUGUUGAACACUUCUUAAAGAUCCUUAAAGUGUUUCAUAUUAAACGAUGUUCAUGCUAAGUUUUACCUAAGCGUUUAGAAUUACCAACCCCAGCAGAUGUUAGUUGUGAUGCUAGAAGGAUGAUCGUGCUAUUGCACGAUUCUAAGUAGACAUUGCGUUGAGGGGACAUUUUACUCCGGUUUUCAUUGGGGCAGCCCCUUAGCCAAACUUUCUGUCUGAAGAACAUGCAUACGAUGUGGUUUACAUGCUCAGAUGGAGACAUUUCUUUUCACCUCCGAAUCCGUGAACGAGGGUCACCCCGACAAGCUGUGCGACCAGGUGUCGGACGCCAUCCUGGAUGCGUGCCUGGAGCAGGACCCUGACAGCAAGGUGGCUUGCGAGACGUGCACGAAGACGAACAUGGUGAUGGUGUUCGGAGAGAUUACGACGAAGGCGGUGGUGGACUACGAGAAGAUCGUGCGCGACACAUGCCGCGAGAUUGGGUUCACGUCGGACGAUGUGGGACUGGAUGCAGACAAGUGCAAGGUGCUGAUGUACUUGGAGGCGCAGAGCCCGGACAUUGCCCAGGGUGUGCACGGGCACUUCACGAAGAAGCCAGAGGAGAUCGGCGCGGGCGACCAAGGACACAUGUUCGGGUAUGCGACGGACGAGACGGAGGAGCUGAUGCCACUGACGCACGUGCUGGCGACGAAGCUGGGCGCGAAGCUGACGGAGGUGCGGAAGAACGGGACGUGCGCGUGGCUGCGGCCGGACGGGAAGACGCAGGUGACGGUGGAGUACAAGAACGAGGGGGGUGCGAUGGUGCCGUUGAGGGUGCACACGGUGCUGAUAUCGACGCAGCACGACGAGACGGUGACGAACGACCAGAUCGCGGCGGACCUGAAGCAGUAUGUGAUAAAGCCUGUGAUUCCGGAGAAGUACAUGGACGAGAACACGAUUUUCCACCUGAACCCGUCGGGGCGGUUCGUGAUCGGGGGGCCGCACGGGGACGCGGGGCUGACGGGGAGGAAGAUUAUCAUCGACACGUACGGGGGGUGGGGAGCGCACGGAGGAGGCGCAUUUUCGGGGAAGGACCCGAC